This 74873-nucleotide long non-coding RNA is filed under the name Citrus sinensis (sweet orange). Its description in RNAcentral is "long non-coding RNA (CSIN_LNC001830)". The record is from RNAcentral. Lineage: Eukaryota; Viridiplantae; Streptophyta; Magnoliopsida; Sapindales; Rutaceae.
UUUUUUUUUUUUUUUUGUGGUGACAGUAAUUAGUUAAUCGCCUAAAGAAUAAGAAACCAAAAAUCCUACAGAAAAAAAAAAAAAAAAUCGCAAGAACAAAGUUCACAAUAUAACUCAAAACCCUAGUAAUUGUCAUGUUAAACUUCAAAACUCCCCUGUACCAUGCAAUCAGUUACCUGACAAUCGUAGAUUGAAAACCUCAAACUAAAACCUUAAUUAGAAAAGUGAACAAGCAAGCAUGAAAUGUAUCUUUUAGAAUUCUAAUAGUAUAAUAGGCACUCUUGAGAAACAACAAAUAGGCGGUGAGUUGAGCUCAUGUUCACAUUCAUCUACGAGGAAAGAGGCCAUGAGCCACGAGUAGGGGUGGGAAGAUCGGGUUUCAGUUAGUGUUUUUCGGGUUUCGGCUUGGGUUACAAUCCGUUGGGGUUGGAAAAUUCAAUCCAAUCGGGUUCAAAACCCAAACACUGAAUUCGAUUUUCGGAUAGAAUUGGAUUAAAAAUUCAGGUCUUCAUUUAGAUUGGGGUUACAAUUCGGGUUACAACCUAAAAUUCCAUAUUCAUUUUCAAAUGAAUCAAAUCCCAACCACCUAAAAUUCGAAAUUCAGUUUCAUAUGAAUCAAAUUCUAGCCCAGAUCAACUGCAAAGGUUGUUGCUUGUCGAUGGAAGAAGAUAUUAGAAAGGUAAAUAAAUAAGAGAAACUCAUAACAGUUGUUAUUUUUGACUUAUUAUUGAUGAUGGCUAACACCUUCCCAACAAACCCAUUUCUUUAAGAAUACCACGACACAGAUUAUGGAAUCAAAAGAGUAAACAACCAAAUUACAGUAUUUAAAUAGCCAUCACCAUUGCAGUAUUUAAAUAACCAUCACCCAAAUUACAGUAAACAACCAUGAAUAAUAGCACCCAAAGUCCCAAAUUACACAAAAAAAAAAAAAAUCUUACCUUUUGCGGCUGACGACGGCGAACGAAGACGGAGGCAGUGACUGGCGACGGUAGAGACGACAGUUUCAGCUUUCGGCUGACCAACGAUUGAGGCAGCACCGGCGCAACUGAAAGGAGGUAACAGUGGCUGCAGCGUGGCGUGGGUGGUUGUCAGCUAAGGGUUAGCGGUUGCGCUAGGGAGAGGAAGAUUACGUGUUUUUUAUUAUGCGUUUUAUACCACUUUUGACUUUUGUUUUUUGUUUUUUUUAAACGGCAAACCCGAUCGGGUUUUUUUUUUAUUCGGGUUGAAACCGAACCGAAAAGAAAACUGAUCGGUUCCAAAUUAUUCUCGGGGAAUGAGAAUAGAGUUAGACUAUUAACACUCCUCCAAAAUUCUUUUAAAGCCGCUUUUUCAGUUAUACUAAAUUUAUUACUAAAAUUACUCUUAUUUCUAAAUAAAUAUAUUUAAUUUGUGAAUUUGUAAAUUUUUUAUUUUUUUUGCUCCUCACAAAUAAUUUUUAUCGGUGAUAAACUUCUUGACAAAAAUCAAUGAAUUAAAUAAAUUAUCUCUAAAAUUAUGAUGUAAAAAGUUUUUGUACGAGUCUAAAAAAAGUCAGAUAAUUUUAUCAAAAUGUGUUUUGUUUAUUAUCAAUAGAUUGUUGUAUUAAUUGAAGAAAAAUUUAUAGAGAAUUUAAGAAAAAAAAUUACAUGUGCGAGUGUGAUAGUAGAGAAAAUAUAAGAAUUUUUUUUAAAGAGAAAAAAUAUAAAAAUUUAAAGUGAGAUAAAAUAGACGUGAGAUAUAUUAAAGUGUUUGUCUUGAAAUAUGAUUGUAAUAAAAGAGGGUUUGAAAAGGAUUAUGGAGGGGCGCCAAUAGUCCAACUCAUGAGGAUAUCCCUGGGCUCGUUUUGUUUUAGCCAACCCAAUUAAUAAAAAAUCCAAGCUUCGGCUAAAAACUUGGGCUGGACCAGAAACAGACGUGAGAUAACCAACCCAAGUAAUUACCAGUUCCUUUUAGACCCCGUUUGCUAUAAUAUAUAUAGUUUAUUAAAAUUGGGUAUAAAAUUGGUGUAAAAUAGAUUCAAAUUUAUCUCAAAUUAAGCACUCUGAUAUUAUAAUUAAGAAAAUCCAGAAUAAUAAAAGUGGAGCCUAAAUAUUUGGAUAAGAAAAGAUGAGCUUGCGCUGGGGCCUCAAACUCAAGGAUCAACAUGGCGUCAAUUUCCUAUUGGAAUAGGUCUUUCAAGUUUUAACACCCCUUUAAAUUUUUUAUAAAACCCUUUUUUUCUCUAUCGAAAUGAUUUAAAUAACUAAAAUUAAUUUUUUUUUUCGGGAAAGAAAAAUUCUUCUUUUAACAAAAUUUUUACACCCAUCCUAUUUCAUAAAUUAUAAUUAUAUUUCCAAAUUUUAAUAAAAGAUUAUUUUAUUGAAAAACUUAUAAGAGUUCAAAGUUAUGGAGAUAAAAAUUAUAUAAUAAAAUUAAAAUAAUUUUAAAUUAUAUAUUUUAAAAAAAUUAUAAAAUGAAAACAUAAAAGAAAGAUCCUUUUCUAAGGUAAUAUUUUAUAGCAAAAUGUUAAUUUUAAUCUACAGGUAUAUAUUUUAUCAAUCAAACUAGUGGUAUUUUAGGAAUAAAAUUAUAAAAAUAAAAAUCGUUGUUGUAAGGAUUUUAGUUUUUAGAGUGAUGUAAAAGCUCCACUCUUUCGUAUCACGCAAGUGUCAGUACACAGACAGCCACAGAUUUCAAGCGGACGACGAUAGAUAGGAUAAGGCACAAAAUAAAUACAAGCGAAAAAUGUUAAGAACGAAUAAAUAAAUAUCUUUAGAAAAGGAAAGUGGGUGGAUCUCCCACGAUUCUUGCUGUUAAAUAAUGUUAAAUUCUUGAAUCUGACAUUAGAGAUUCAGGUUGGAUUCCUGCUCCUGGGGGCCCAAUUAUUCUAUGCCACUACAUCAUGAAACUGACAACUACAAUGACUUUCAUUAUCUUUAAUGCGUCAGAAUUGCCGUGCGUGGCAAGUGGCCAAUAGCAGCAUGACAGUGGCCGCUGCCCAAUUGCAAUUAUUUUCAGCGUUUGCAAAUGCCUACGAGGCUGCGAGGUUGAUUCCCCGUGAGCUUGAAAACGAAAACACCCCAGGCUGCGGGCUGCGGCUGCUAAUUAUGACUGCUUUGUGUCUUUUUUUUUUCCUCUUCUCAAUUAUUAUAAAAAACAACAAUCAUCCGAUAAAACAGCAAAUGCAUCUUCCCGGGACCCAGUCCGAAAUUCAGAAUCUUUUGAGAUGAAACUAAAAUUGUUGCGUUGAAGCACGGCUCCUCUUUCACUUCCUCCAAUAAUUCCGCAGUACACGCCACUCAGGCACUGGCGGUAGUGGCGGUUGGUGGGCUCGUCUCACACUCUCAGUGAAAAGUUAGAGGUCACAAGCAGAUUCAUGUUGCGCGCGGAAGGGAAGGGAAGGUUAGCCAGUCGACGCCACAAUAAAUUUGAGUAACCAUUUAUGCUGCACUACACGUAUAUCUAUUUAAAUUCUGAAUAAAUUUUUAAAUUGUAAUAUUUAUAGUAUGGUAAUCGAUCAUAAAAAAAAAAAGAAAAAAGAUAAAAAUCGUACGUAAACUACGCAAUAGUCCGAAAUUGAACAGCACAUGGCUUGUCACUGUGUUUCGAGGCUUAUUAAUAACCUGUACGUGUCCUUACUGGCAAGUGGCAACCUAGGCGUUCGUGUGCGCUGCUUUCGGUGGCCCAAAACCGAAAGAUAGAUGAUGUUGAUUUCUGUGAAAGAGGACUUGAAAUGAAACCAACCAAUGUGGAAAACUUUAUCACGGCAAAUAUUUGGAAUCCACAAUGGUCAAAUCUACUGUUAUCUAUCUAUAUAUAUUUGGACCGAGGGCUACAAGGUGAUUCUCAAGCAAGAUUGAUUUUUUAUUUUUAUUUUUUAUUGAACAGUCUUGAGCUUAAGGCAUGGAUAUUUUUUACAGUCUAAAUAUCACUCGGGUAGGAAACUUAAAAUCUCAAUUAAUAUAAGUAAAUCGUGGGUAUAUAUUAUGGGCAGGUUCAAAUUUGUGAGAGUGAAUUCUAACAAUUGGUGUGAUUUAUGGACAGGUUCAAAAUGGAAACCCUUACUAUUAUCAUAUGAUAGCAUUGAAUAUAAUAAUUCAAUAAAUUUGAAUUAAUUUUAGUGUGUAUUUGGGAUUGAGGUUGAGCAGCUGUAGUUUAAAAAGUUACAGUACUAAAGUAUUUGGUAAACAUUAACUGUUGUAACUUGUAAGCUAUGUUGAUAUAAUUCUUUACUUGUAUAAUAAAAAAUUUAUUAUAUCUUUAAUAAAAUUUUUUAAAUUAUUAUUUAAAUUUUAUAUUUACUAUAUAUUAUUAACUUUUGUUUGAUAGUGACAUCUUUGUUUUCAUAGCAAUUCUAGCUUAAGAGGUACAGUACUUCAAUUCCAAACGGAACCUUAAUGAAUUUGACUAGAUAUUUAACGUCCCUCCUGCUAAAAAAAUUAUUGAAUAAUUCAUCAAUUGGUAAUUUUUUUAUUAAUUCAAUUCAUGAUACUGGUAAAGAAUUUCAAAAUCAAAGGUAAAAAAGGGGGACAAAAGGUGGUUGAAGUGUGCAAGCAGGGAAAGGAUUCCUUAACCAAAUGGGCAUCAUCGCUUGCUGUUUACUGCCGAUUCUGUUUUGUCUUACAUGAAUGAUUUAAAUUGAUUCCAACUGAAUUCUGAUGAAUCGGCAAGGGCCAUAGGCCGUGGCCCAUGGUCGCGUUAUCUUUAUGUGCACGAUUCCAAAAGAUUCCCAUCGAAGUCAUUCUCACAACAAAGAGGCCAAGUUGAAAAAGUAUCUCGCUUGACAUUUAUUCCAAGUUUUGGUUAGAAAAAAAAAUGAGAUGAUAGGACAUACGUGUGUGCUUCACCAUUCGAUAAUUUCAGAUUCGUUUGAUUGAGCGAUUCUUAUCUCUGUUCCCCGGCUUAUACUUUUUUAUAAUUUAAUAAAAGAAAUUAUUAAAAAUAUCACAAAGAGUGUUUUUAUGCUUUAGAAAACUCGAGAGUUAGGUAGAGUAGAUUUCUCCAAAUUUAUUUCUAUGAGAUUUAUGUAAUUUCAAGCCAAUUUAUGGGUUACAUUCAUUAUUAUUGUGCUAAUCACGGCUAAUAUCCGUUUAAUAAUAAGAAUAAUAAAAUUAAUGUCAUAUUCAAGAAAAUCAAAGGACGAAACACUAUAUAUAUAGUUAUUAUCAAAUGUGGAAAAAAAGAGAGAGGUAACACAUUUAUAAAUUAAGUUAUUGAACUCAACAAUGAAUUAUAAAAAAUAAAAUGUCUUAUACUUAAAAAAAAAGAUUGUGUCUUUCAUAUUUUAUUUACAAGGUACAUGAUGAGUCUAUUGUCUACAUGCAUAUUAUAUACGUAAAUUCCGUUCACAGUUCAUCGUAUUCUCAUGAAUUUUAUUUUAUACACUCUUUUAUUAGGAUAAACCCUAACAUACAUUUAAUGUAUGUUACAGCCACUCACACCACUCAUUGUUCAUGUGAAUAGUGUAACAUACGUUAUGUUAAAAGGAUCCUCUUAUUAGUUAUCAAAAGAUUUUCGAAUUUUACAAUAAUAACAAAAAUAAAUAGUCGUUUGCACUAAUUUUGUGUUCCGUGUAAUACGGUCGGGUGUGUUUUCCAGGAAAAUGAAUAAUUUUUAUUUUUUUCUGGGAAAAAGAACAAAGACGUGAUGGGCCGAAACUCUCUUCGUUUGACGGGAUGAAAAGCAGACGAAAGCAGCCAAUACAACAACAUUACCUAACGAUUACCGGGGCGGCUAAGUGACCCCACGUUACAUCGCCCGUUUAUCCAACCUCGAAAGGGACCCAACCGCAGUCAUGCUAAAUUACCCCGGCAUCCCCUGCACUUCACACUUCCACAAUUCACGGCACGAACCUCAUGGAUCUUUCUUUCAUCAAUGCUGACGUACGGCUGAGACGCCUGGUGGCUGGUGCAGCUGACAUCAACUUUUGUUAGAAGAUCGGUUGCAUCUGGACCGUCCAUAAGAAAAUUAUCCUCACUUAGGCUGACGUGUACGUGCCAUCUGCAACCUCACUCGCUUUACACUAUCUAAAAUUCUCAAUUUCUCUAUGCAGAAUUAGAAUAAAGUAACGCUCAAACGUAAAAUCAACGCGACCCCAAACGUUUUGAUGUAUUUCAUUUAAAUUAAGAGUUUGAGCAGUCUGAAAAAUUAAUAUAACAAAAUAAUUUAUUAUCUUUAAUAAGCAGUGAAAUGAGAGUUGGGAUAUUAUAUUUGAGCUCAUAAAGAAUAGCAUAUAAAUCUAAUCAAGAAUCUCAUACGCUAUGUCGACUCAUCUAUUAUUUACAUUAUUUAUUUAAUAUAGUUUUUUGAUAUUUUUAAUAAAUACCCAUUUAACAUGAUUUUAAUAAAUAUUUUAGAAUAUUUAUAAUGCUGCAUAAAGUAUAAUCAACUUAAUUUUAAUUAUAACAAAUAAAAAUUAAAAUAUGAUCAAUAUAAUAUAGUCUUAAGAUUUCUAAUUUCCAAGUAUAAUUAUUGAACAAAUGAUUCUGUCCUAAUCGUUAGUUUUAACUUUUAACCAAAUAAGUUGGUAAUUUUGUAAUAAAUAGGGUAUUGAUUAAGAAUUUUAUAAAUUAUUUUACCCAAUUGAAAUAAAUUAAAACAUUUUUACCCCUUAUUAAUAUUUUCCCGUUUAAAAUAAAAUAACAAAAGAAAAAAUAUAUUGUCAGCAGUGCAUCACUCGGUAUUAUAAAUAACAGAGCUCUUCCUCCCCACAACAACAUUUCCAUAACUAGCUCCAGCAACCAAUCAACCCCCUUCAAAAAACCAUGACGCGCCUUGCCUCCGGCGUGCUAAUCACGCUCCUAGUCGCUCUUGCAGGAAUCGCCGAUGGAAGCAGAGACAUAGCAGGUGACAUUCUGAAGCUACCAUCGGAAGCCUAUAGGUUCUUCCAUAAUGGUGGGGGAGGGGCAAAGGUCAACGAUGAUGAUGAUUCUGUCGGCACGAGAUGGGCCGUCCUGCUUGCCGGAUCUAAUGGCUUCUGGAAUUACAGGCAUCAGGUCUGCUAUCUGAAUUUUAUUUUUUGAAAUCACGUUUUAUUUUAAUAAAUUCCUUGGAAUUACCAAGUUUUAUUCUUUUCGUAAAUAUUAUAAUGAAAGUUUAUUUUAUUUUUGUAAAUUUUUUUCUUUUUCUUUUUUUCAUUUUUUUUUCAGAAAGUGAAGUAAGGUUAAGGUUUUCUUUGAUGCUUGUAUUUAAAAAGCUCGCCAUAAAUUAUGUCUGAAUAUUGAGAAUCUCAUUUUGCGCGUAACUGUUUAAUUUACGUAAGCAGCAAGUAAGCCGAGACAAUCAGACAAAAGAAAGAAUGUGAAAUUCAUUUCAUGUUUUCGGUUUUUUUUUUAAAAAAAACCAAAUUUCCAGUUUGUUUGUGCAACUUAAGCACUAUCUCUUAAAAAAAUUAAUAAUAAUAAUAAUAAUAAUAAACAAACAAACAAACUAUCACAUAGCUUGACAUAUUUCUUAAUUGUAUCAGUCUGGUUAAAGGUUUUCCCCAAUAAAAAAUUUUGGUUAUUUCUUUGAAAAACAUAUAUAUAUAUAUAUAUAUAUAUAUAUUACUUUCAUUUAUUUAUUCAUCAUCUCAAGUGAAACUUUUGUGAUUUGCCUGUGAGUGACAAUUGUUUGUGUACACUGUCAAUGAUUGUAUGAAUCAGAGGCAAGAUUUCUUACUUUAAAUAAGUGGGUAACUGUAUUUGCACCUUUUGUGUAAGCCGCUUGAUGUAAAUAUUGCUGUUAGGGGAUUUGAUUUCCUAUCAAGUCCACUUUUCAUAUAUAUAUAGAGAGAGGGCAUUCUUACUUUGUUAAGGUGAGAAUGCCAGCAAAAGACAAAAAAUAAAAAUAAAAAUUUCAAUAUACUAAUAGAUUGAAAUAUAUGUUUUUUCGUAUUUUAGUGAUAUCUUAUUUUGUUAAAGUGAGGAUGUCCUCAACAAAGAAGGACUCUCUCUCUAUAUAUACAUGCACACAUACAUGCUUUCUAAUUAUGAAUUUCAGCAUAUUAUACUGUCUAUUGAUGUCAUAAUCAUAUUCUGUGUAGAGCUUCAUAAAUCAUUUUUUGUAUUUAUUUUAUUUUAUUUCUAUUUCAGGCUGAUAUUUGUCAUGCUUAUCAACUCUUGAGGAAAGGUGGGCUGAAGGAUGAAAAUAUUAUUGUUUUCAUGUAUGAUGACAUCGCUUUCAAUGAAGAGAACCCAAGGCCUGGAGUCAUCAUUAACCACCCCCAUGGCGAUGAUGUUUACAAAGGAGUUCCAAAGGUCUCUUUCCCUCAAGAGUAAUUCUAGGUUUACAUAAUCCUCUACAAACUCUACUCAUAUAACAUGUUGUGGCAAUUUUUCAAAGAAAUAAAAGCAAAUAAAUAGUGGGGAACAUAUGAUAGUGAUAUAAUAAUGUCACAUCCGUUCGUAUGGGUAGAGUUGUAUAGGAGCUUGUAUUCCUAUUCUCACUAUUGCAUCAAAGAUCAACCAUCUGAAUAUGUGAUAAAGUUCUUUAUUACUACUACUACUAUUAUUUUUUUCAUGGUUUCUUCUUUCAUGUGGCAGGAUUACACGGGGGAAGAUGUUACUGUUGAAAACUUUUUUGCUGUUGUCCUGGGAAAUAAAACAGCUCUUACAGGGGGCAGUGGGAAGGUUGUGGAUAGCGGCCCCAAUGAUCAUAUUUUCAUAUUCUACUCAGAUCAUGGUGGCCCUGGGGUGCUAGGUUAGUAGCCACGAUUCUUCAUAAGUUCCCCACUCUGUCUUAUAUUGUAUGUGUUUUUUUUGUGCUGUUUGAAUAGUGGCUGUAGUUACCCGAAUUAGAUGGUGGUGGUCCUUGGGCUUGGAUUUCUUCCAUCUUAUGGUCAAUUUCUGGUUUUAGUUCAGCGCGUGUCAUAAAACUUGAUUUUGAUUCUGAAGUGAUUUUUAGAAAAUAGACACCAUAGAAUUGGAUUAUCUUUUUUUCUUUUGGCCCAAAUCAAACCGGUUUUGGUGGUAUAUGACUGUCACUAGAAAAACCCUGUUAGAGAACGUCUCACAUGGUUUAAAGAUUCAAAAUUAUUUUCUUUAACCACUAAAGGCAUUUCUUUUAUGGUAAUAUUAUAUUUACUGAGUCGGGAUUCAUAGUUUGUAUCUCAAGUGAUGAAUCACCAAUCAUUAAUGGUCAUGUUUAAGUUUUGGUUGAUUUUAUCAUUUAUCAAUAGGGUGUCAAUCUUGCAACGUCAGAUGCCACAUCACUUGCGGUGCAAGCUAUGUAUAUAAACAAAUUCUUCUAUUAUUAUUAUUAUUAUUAUUUAUUUAUUUUCAUAUUUGUGAUUUUACUGGGAAUAAAAAUUUGAUUGUGUUGUUAUGCUGUUGCAUGUUGUUUGAAGCCUAGGCCAACAUGACUCAUGUAAAAAUUGGUUACUCAGAAGGUUAAAAGUGUAUUGGUUUUACUUGAAAUAUCCUACCUUAUUUUUUCAACAGAGUGGAUAUAUAUGUUAUAACCGACACUAUUUUUAAACUUCUGUUGUAAAAUUGACUUCUUAGUUCACCUGUUUUGUGAUCUAUUUUAGGGAUGCCCACCAGUCGAUACAUAUAUGCUGAUGAACUGAUCGAUGUCUUAAAAAAGAAGCAUGCUUCUGGGAACUACAAAAGCUUGGUAAGUAAUUGGUGAACUGCCAUUUGACAUGUGUUCUAUUUCGAUAAAAGUCUUGGCAAAUUGAAAUUUUUGUUGGUUUCAAUAUCAAAAAAUUUAGGUAUUUUAUCUCGAAGCCUGUGAAUCUGGAAGUAUCUUUGAGGGUCUUCUUCCUGAGGGCUUAAAUAUCUAUGCAACCACAGCUUCAAAUGCUGAAGAGAGCAGUUGGGGGACCUAUUGUCCUGGAGAGAUUCCUGGUCCUCCCCCUGAAUAUAGCACUUGUUUGGGUGACUUGUAUAGUAUUGCUUGGAUGGAGGACAGGUAUGACAACAUUUAUGAUUUUAUUUAUUUCACUUUGGCAACAUUUUUCUGUUUCCUUGAGUAACAACAUGUCUAUGUCUGUCUUCUGUAAUCUCUGAAAAUAGAAGAAAAGUACUGGUUUGACCGAAUUUAUUAACUUACUGAACAAAACUUUUCUAAAAAUUUAUCAUUUUGUGCAGUUUUUUUCCUAGAGAAGCAGUGUGUGCGUGUGCCUUUUUUUUUUUUUUGGGUGAAUUUUAAUAUUUUGACCUUUGCACAGUGACAUACACAACUUGCGGACAGAAACUCUUCACCAGCAGUAUGAACUGGUAAGAUCUCAUUGAGACUUUAUUACUUCAUCGAUGUUCAUUAUACACAGAUAAUGGUUAACUCAGUGCAAAUAAAAUUAGUAACAGUUGGCUUUUUAAGAAUCCUAGAUCCUGCUCUUACCUGCUUGUUUUGAUAACCGCUAAAAUCAGUUUUUUUUUAUUUUCGAAAUUUCAGGUUAAAACAAGGACUGCUAGUUACAAUUCGUAUGGCUCUCAUGUCAUGCAAUAUGGUGAUAUCGGUCUUAGCAAGAACAAUCUCUUCACGUACUUGGGUACAAAUCCUGCAAAUGAUAACUACACUUUUGUGGAUGAGAACUCCUUAAGGCCAGCAUCUAAAGCUGUUAACCAGCGAGAUGCCGAUCUCUUGCAUUUCUGGGACAAGGUAUGUAUCCAACAAUGCACAUAGCUCAUUAAAUUGAAUGCUGCCUCUCUAGCGUAUUUUAUUCAUUUACUUUUUCAAUCCCCAAUGUGGGGAUGGAUCACAAUUCUAUGUUCAACAUGGGUUUGAAAGUUUGUCAUCUCGUUGUUGAGGUUGGUGUAAACUGUAUAAGGGUCUUAUGAUUGGUUAAGUUGGAAUUAGGAAAAGAGGUUAGUGAUGUAACAAAGCAUGGUAGUAGCUUGAUAUUAAGAAUUUUGGAACCAUUUUUAGGUAUGCCAGUUCUCUAUUAUACCCAAAGCAGUAUAAGCAGAGUCCAUUGGCCAUUGGGUACAAAACCCCUAUAGAACAUGUUGUUUCUAUUUGCUUGAGAUGUGGAAGUUUUGGUUACCCUGCUAUGUUACCUGUGGAAAUAACAGUCAGAACGCCCUAAAUAGAUUUUUUUUUUUGGGGGGGGGGGGGGUGAAUUGUAAAAUAGCGACCCUUUCUGCAGUAUGUCUGAAAAUUUUCUCCUUUCUACUUAAGAAUAUACCUCACUUUGCCUAUCCGUUACUUUAAUAGUACCGCAAGGCACCUGAGGGCACUCCUAGGAAGGCUGAAGCUCAGAAGCAGUUUUUUGAAGCAAUGUCUCAUAGAAUGCAUGUAGACCACAGCAUCAAACUUAUUGGAAAGCUCUUAUUUGGAAUUGAGAAAGGUCCAGAGAUCUUGAACACUGUUCGACCUGCUGGUCAGCCUCUUGUUGAUGACUGGGGCUGCCUCAAAUCACUGGUAAAAUUCCUGAUCAUCAAUUCUUGUAUUUUUUAAUCCCUUGACAACACUUAAAAUAUCAUUAACAAGGUUCUUUUCUGUCUAUUCCUCUGUGCAGGUGAGGACUUUUGAGUCGCACUGUGGAGCUCUAUCGCAAUAUGGAAUGAAGCACAUGCGUUCUCUUGCAAACAUCUGUAAUACAGGAAUUGGGAAAGAGAAGAUGGCUGAAGCAUCAGCACAAGCCUGUGAAAAUAUUCCUUCUGGUCCUUGGAGUUCUCUCGACAAAGGAUUCAGUGCAUAAAGAAGCCGAGAACUGUGCGAAUAUCAUAAGCCAGUCUUGAAAUAUGUUAGUUUUCAUUAUAGUCGCCAAUAUGGCAAUAUCUAUUUUCAUUUGGCUGAUGAUUGCUUCCAUUUAUGGCAAUGUCUAUUUUCAUUUGGCUGGUGAUUGCUUCCUUGUAAUUAUUAUAUUUAAAAGCUCUUCCCUGCCAGACCGCAGUUGUAAUUUGAUAGUAUAUAUUUUGGAUGUAUGCGAUGCUAUUUUAUGCUUAUGUAGCUAUAUUUGUUCCUGAUUUGUAGACCGUGCAACUCAACCCUCUUCGUGGUGUUGCUCUAAAUAUUGAAAUAAAAGCUCUAAUUUUGGAUUAAAAAAGAUCGUAUUGUUCAGCAAAUAUGACAUUUUUGUUACCAGGGUAUUAGAACUUCUCACGGUAUUAAAAUAUUGUUAUAUCAUGUUUGUUAAUUACUCAUUUUAUUUUAACAUAGUCAACACACCCUUAAAAUAUAAUCAUAGUAAGUAGCAAGCAAGCAGAACAUAAAAUUUUCAUCAAACAAAUUGUAAAGGAAAAUUACUUUCAACUUUUAAGUCAUGGCUGUAAUUAUUGCCAGACAUUUCAAAAGAGUCUUUUAGACAAAUUUCUCCGCUGCAUUAACCGAUAACGUUGGCUUAGGAUCAAGCGUUUCUUCCUUCAGCUUCGUUUUCCCCUUCGUCUUCUUGAAAAUCAAAAUAACAAUCCUCCACACUUACGUAAACAAAUUUCAAAACCAAAAUUCACACCCCAAUCUUUCUUUUAACGGAAACUCUUCCCCAGAGUUUCUGCCUGUAGGACUUAAAUAUUUUCCUAAUAAAUCCUUGAUAUAAAACAUUAAAAUAAACAGGGGUCGAUCAUCUAGUCAGCGGCAAAAACAAAGUAAUAAUUCAUUCACGGAAAUACAAAAGGUAACUUAUGGUCUUCUAACACUGUGAUAUACCGACUACUACUAUAUAUGUUUUCCAGAACACGAACCGAGCAAAUACAAAUCCAGACCAAAAUUGCAAAUACUCCCAUCCGAAUGCAUAAACCUGUACGAGAGAACCCCGCACAAACACCACCAAUCAUAUCUGCCAAUUCACGUAGCAGGACUUCCCCCUUCCAUAACUUCAGCAAGCUGGUUUAGCUUGGAGAUUUGCCUAUCUUGUCAGCAUUGAUCUAGCAAGCCUGUAAUAACUGAUUUACUGGCAAUCAGAGGGAGCAAGUAGCAUAAUAAAACAAUCAUAGACUUUUGCCUGGCAUUAUUGUAUUAAUCAAUUUCAUCUUUGUUUUCAUAAAAGACGCAUACAAAAUAAAAUUAAAUAACAAUUUAAGUUCAGAUGUGACCAUGAAUCUAUCCUGCCAUCCAUUUUAUUCUUUGUACAAAAGUUAAUCAGUCUAGGUAGGCUGACGAAAAACACCUAGAGAGGCCACACCAUCAUAGUCAUUCAGGCAUGUCUAUGCAAAUCCAAGAUGCUUAGAUGCUAAAAUUCACAAAUACCCAAGCUUUAUGUGUAGUUAGCAUGCCUUUCAAUUAACAGCAUGACAUACAGGUUCCAUUUUCUUUCUCUACAUUACGAAAGCAAUUUCCCAUGCCAUUAUGUAUUGCAAAUUUAUGUGAGAUAAUAAAGGCAACUGGAGACAUCAGCUUAGGUCUGUCUAUACUUAUAAUAACAGACUAUGCUAAUUAUUGGUAUUUACAGGCUUAAACAUACAAAGAUAAAACAACUUGUAAAAUCUCAAUUUACUUUCUAAAAGAAAUUUAAAACCUUUUCGUCAAUAGAAGCAUAAAAAAGUAAGUUCCAACAACAGAAAUAAACUCACCAGCAAUACAGCAGAUAUCAGAUAGCUGCUUCAGUCUCAACGUCUGCCCCGAUCAUCUUCAUGCUUGUACGCAUACCUCCUUCUCUCACUUGACCGAGAAUCAUCAUAUCUAACUCUCUUGGAGUAAUCCGCUUGUUUGUCCAGCUCAUUUCCCUUACUUUCUUGCACUUCUCCCUCCCCUCUCCCAUGCUUUCGACUACGCCUCUCUUCUUCCUCCCCUCUCUCAUGCCUUCGACUACGCCGCUCUUCUUCCUCCCCUCUUCCAAGCCUUCGACUUCCUCGCUCUUCUUCCUCCCCUCUCCCAUGCCUUCGACUUCCUCGCUCUUCUUCCUCCCCUCUUCCAUGCCUUUGACUUUCUCGCUGCAGCUCUUCAUGAUCCUUUCCGUGCCUUCCAUAUUUGUGUUCUUCAGCUCUCCGAUGCCUUCCCCCUCUAGCCUCCUCUUCAUCCAUGUUUUGCCUUCUAAACCCUGCAUGCUCUUUGGAAUCUUCAUCAUCCCCCCUACGACCAUCCUCAUUCCCACGUGGUCUGGCGUUCAAUUCAGACUCCGGUUUUGCAUCUGCAUGAUGGCCUUCGUGCAUUGCAUCCUUCCCAACAAUACUACUCCUUAACCUUGCUUCUGGUCGCUCCUCCCUGUUUGCCUCAUCAUACUUCCUCUUGGCCAUCCUCAUUUCCUGAUGUUCAUAGGUAGACCUUCCCAUAUCUGCAGCAUCUCUUUCAUACUGGUACAGACUUCGCUCCUCUAAUUUCCUCAGUGCGUCUAACAUAUCGUCAUCUUUUCGACCAUUUCUUUCUCUUUUCCUGUCACUUCCAGCAGGACUGUACCCAUGAUCACUUCGUCCACUUCUACCACUCAUACCAUUUCCACUUCCAGUUCUGUUUUCACCCACACGGUUCUUUCCACUUUUCUUACGUCCGUAAUCACUUGCACUGCUGUCUGAAUCUCCGUCACCACUUCCCUUGUCAGACUCACUCCUAUUUCUAUUGCUAUUGUCCAAAGGAGACUCAUUUUCGAUCGCUUCAGGCCUUCCAAGGGAUGCUUUAUAAUUUUUCCUCCCAUAGCUGGAAUCUGAGUUUUCAUUAUCAGAAUUAUGCCUCCUACUUAUCCUGCGCUUCUCAAUUUUAUUGCCACUGUCAUCAUCAGUGUCAUUCCUUCUCGAUCUCCUCUUUAUCACAUCUGCAUCAUCAACAUCAUAGCCUUGCCUGUUUUUCCCAUAACUAUCAUAGUUGCUCUUUUGGUGAGACCUUAAGUCAAAAUUUUCUCGCUCCCCUCUGCGGCUUCCACCCAGCUGAUUGCCCCUUUUCUCAAGAUGACUUUUAUCCUUUUCCAUACCAAUACCAUUAUCGAAAUCAUCCUCAGAAUCAUGACGUACACUUGCUUUCACAUGCCUACUCCCCUUCCGAGUCCUGUGCUUAGAUGAAUCUUCAUCAAAAUCAGAACCAUUAUCCGAAUCAUGUCUCCUAUGACUUUUUCCAUAUUUCUCAACUUCCUUCAUGGAACUAACCUUACCAGUGUCAUCAGAAGAAGAAUAAUCUGAACUAUCAAUAGAAUGUUUUCUGCUUUUCUUGUGCUUCUUCGAAGAGUUCCUCCUUUUCUUAGGGCUUUCACCAUCACUGUCACUGUCACUUUCACUAUCACUUCUCAGGCUAACCUUACGAUUCUUCUUUGGCACCGCUCUUGCAUGCUUACUGCUACCAGCGUCAUCAGAAGAAGAAUUAUCUGAACCAUCACUAGAAUGUUGUCUGCUUUUCUUGUGCUUCUUUGAAGAGUUCCUCCUUUUCUUAGGGCUUUCACUAUCACUGUCACUGUCACUUUCACUCUCACUCCUCUGGCUAACCUUACGAUUCUUCUUGGGCAUCCUUCUUGCAUGCUUACUGCUGCUAUCAGAAUCAGAAGAAUCGUCUCCAUGUCUUCUCUUUCUGCCAUUACCCUUAUGGUGCCUGGUCUCAUCCUUCUUAAUUUUCUCAUCUUUAACAGUCUUUUUCUGAUCAUCCUCCACAAUUUCCCCCUCUUCUAUCACACGUCUCUUCCGAACAUUCUCUCUAUCCAAAAAGGCAUGUUCGCUUUUCUCAUGCCACUUACCGUCAUCAUUGGAAGCAUUCUUUCGACCAUUUCUUGGUGCAACAUCACUUCCUUCAGCCCCUUGUUCACUAGCUUCAAUCGUACCUAUACCAAGUGCAGCUCUAAACAUUUCCAUUUGUUUCUCCUUUCUAGCAGCAAUUUUAUGGGUCUCUGUUUCUGAUACCCUGAACAAGCAAGGAGAAAAUUAGAAGUUAAUUCCUAGGUAACCUAUACAAAAAUUUCCUACUGAGAAGACAUGAUUAAUCAAGUAAAAUAACUCGGGUAACAGAAAUCUCAAGUGUAAAAUAAACCUGAAAAUGGAACAACUAUUACAAAGACGAAGGAAUUUCCAAGAAACAAGAGUAAGGGAAAUUAGAAAAAAAUUAAUUCCCCUUUAAUGAAUCCCAUUCUGAAUUACAUAUAUGCCUCCAGAACAAAGCCAUCAAGGAAGUGAUUCAACAAUCCCCUUGCAGCCGAAAGGAGAGGCAAAAUUGCAGGUUCCCUAAUUAUACAUGCUUCAAACUUCAAACACAAGCAGGACAUACUAAAAACAUACCAAUUGCUUUAUCACACAUAUAAAACAACGCACAAGAAAACUAACCAUUCAUAAUAUUAUAGCAGUGAAAAUAAAUAAAACUGACACGCUUAAAAGUUACACACAUGAAAAAAUGUCUACAAAAAGACAUCUCUACAAACUGAAGUGGUAUGAGUACUUGAACUGUACUUGUUAUUUUUCACUGUUCCAAUCAUAUCAUGUCACCUCAAGAAUGAAAAUUUGUAUGUAUCUUAUUAUUCAUAGCAAGAAUUACUUACUUUGCAUCAGCGGCAGGCCCACCACUUUCCGCUGAAGCUGAGGCGACUUCAAGAGUCUUCCGAGCCUCCUCAAGCUUCUCGGCAAUUUCAGCCUCAGUGUAACCCUGAUCAACGAGUUUGUCUUCGAGCACCACCAAUUUGAGUUGAAUCUGGCGCUUACGCUCAUGCUCGAGGAUCUCCUGGUUCGGUUUUCUGGUGACUCCAGCCGUUCCCUGACCCGCUUCGAAUCCCUUGACGCUGUCGGUAACCCGACCUGUUUUGGCCUUCACAAAAAACUUGUUCGUUUGUAUGUAUCCGUUGGUUCCGGACCCCCUCGGGGUCUGUAAGCCGAUUCCGUUAUACAUCUAACGAAAAUACAAAACAAUUCUCAAUCUUCAGCAAAAAUGAAUUUAUAGAUCUUGAAUUUCAAGAUCCCGAUGCAUGUGAUAUUUCGAUCGGAGAAAAAAAAAAUCUCACAAAUAAAAGCACGAGAAUAGAACAAUUGGAAAGAAAACAAAACGCACCAGUGAUUAAUCGGUUGAUAUGAAACGUGAUAUCUGAUUGAUUUAGUGUUAUCUUCUUUCCCCUUAACUCGGUGAUUCUUCGUUUCGGCAAUUCAGAGAAAGAGCGAAACCCUAACCUGAUCGCUUAGUGCUUGUAGGGACAAUUUGAUUUGACAAUAAUGUCCUCCAUUCGAGGCCAAUGAAAUCUUAGAUAUGAAGGAUGUUUAUGUCUUUGACCUAAACUUUUUGAAUCCGUUUUUAUCUCGAUUAAAUAAAUAUCAUCCCAUUGAUUGAUAUCGACCCUUUUUUUUUUUAAUUAUGUUAUACAGAUAUGAUUAUUGAUAUUAACAUUAUAAUUAUAAUAUUUAUAAUUAUAUUAAACAACUGAGAUCACCACCAUACAUUAAUCUAUUGAAGCAUUUGUUCAAAUACUUUAAACACUCUCUAAUAUUUGAGGGAUGCCUACUCUACUUAUAUUUUGUAAGGGAGAGACUGUCUACACUCAAUUAAUUGAUAAUUAAGAAAAAAAUUGAAAAUAACUUCCAUAAUACUCUUGUGGAGGCUUGAAUCGUUACACUCAAUAUUAUAAGUAUAAGACUUCUCUCAUUGAACCAAAGGCCAUUGGUGAUUGAUACAGACCUUUAGAUAGUACUACAUAGACCUUUUCUUUUAUUUUUUUUCCUUUAUUUUCCCCUUUAAUACAGAUUUACAUAAUCCAUAAAUCGUAAUAUAGAGAGGUCUAAGUAAUCGGAACACCGACAUUACUUUCGUGUCGGUCUUGUUUUGUUUUGUUUUGGCUUGUCUUUUUAUGUGAUUGUUAUCUCAUAAAGUAUUGUUGUUAUGAACAAUUUUAGAGCAAGCUGAUCUUGUGCACGCCCUCGCGUACGUUAUUAUAGUGUGCGAUUGGCUAUUAUGUUAAUGAUGAGUUCUUAUUAGGGGCUUUCGAGCUACAGCUGAGCUUCCUAUAAUGGGAGCUUACCACGCAUGUCAUAACAUGUAUGACAGCGUGUAUUAUAUAAAGUUGUUUGUGUUAGAUAUAUCAGAUGGUAUUUUCAAAGCACUCUGUUUUUUUUUUUUUUAAUACUGAUUAAUCAUCAGAUUACUGCAUUACACAGAUAUUUACAACAACUGCUUAUUGUAGCAGAGAUAUUACACUGAUAUUUACAAUCAGAUAUACAUGAUUGGGACUUACAUUAUUACAAUGAAUUCUAUGAAGUACAUGCCCAGACAAAUAACCCCUCACAGGAGAGGGAUGUCCAUACUCCACUUGCAUUUUGCAAGGGAGAAGGAUUUUUUAAAUAUAAAGAACAUUUAGCCCCCACAAAAGCUUUGUAGGGGCUAGAACCGCUGCCCUCACAAGUAUUGUGUUGUGAGGGCAGCAGCCCACCACUUCGGCCAAGGCCGAAGCGGCGCACUCUGUUAAAAUAGUUGAGUGGUAAACUGCAACUCUCACAAGUUACCAUUGUGAGAGCUGCGAUUUAAGUUCUUAUAGCAGAUUUCUAUUUCUUCUUCUAAUUAAAAAUUGGGUUUAAAAAUUGGGUAUAUAUUAGAAUCUCUCCUGUUAAUUAAAUGCAGAACAGAUGUCUAAGAGCUGUAAUUUAAGUCACCAGAAAAGACUUCUAUUCCCAAUUAAAAAUUGAGUAAAAAUAAGUUUCUAUUCUAUUAAAUGGUGAGUAUUGAGUAGAGCAGAUGGGAAAUUUGUAACCUACCCCCAAAUAAAUUGACAUUUUGCACCACGCCCCCAAUUCCAUUAUUUUAUCAGUUAAGUUUAACGGUGGAGGGGUAAAAUUGAAAGUUUAUUUCUUAAAUUAAUUUUAAUGGGAAUUCUCUUUAUUGUAAUUAAAAUAAAAAUCUUUAAAAAAUUAAAGAAAAAAUAAUAGUGGUGACAAUGAACAUGUAAGAAGAAUUGUUUUUUUUAUUGCAAUUGAAAAAAAAACCUUAAAAAAUUAAAUGAGCUAAAAAUUUUGUUUUUUUACAUAGAGGGGCAUUUUUGUCAUUCAAUCAAAAGUUAAACGGAGCCGUUAAACUUAACUAAGAAAAUAACGGAAUUGGGGGCGUGGUGCAAAAAUGUCAAUUUUUUUGGGUGCGCAGUGCAACAAGUCAAAUUUGUUGGGGACGCGGUGCAAAAUGUCAAUUUAUUUGGGGGUAGGUUACAAAUUUUCCUAGAGCAGAUAUUCAAUAUAUGAUGUAAAUAUUAGUACGUAUUAAUAAUUUUAGAGAAAAUGUUAUUUUUAAGUUUAAUAAAUAAAAAAACAUGCGCGAUACAUGGUGUUAUUGAUUAAGCAAAUGAUCACUUAGGCUUUAGGAAUAAAAUUUGAUGCUUUGAACUUUCAAAAUCUCAACUUUGUUCAUUACAUAUGACUUUUUAUCAUUCAUGAGCUUGUAGAGGUAUUAUAAACAAUUAUAAUAAGUAAUAAGCUUACAUGGGGGCAAUAUAAAGUUUGCAUUCAAAUUGAUGAUGUGGUAGAUGAUAUGAUUUUAUUUCGUGAGGUCAUUUGAUAAUGGAUUAUUAACUCGGAGUUUGGCAGUUUUCUGCUUAUUUAAAUCAAUAUAUAUAACUUGUUUUCAACUAUAUGUAUAGUAUUCAAAGAUAUGUGAGCACAAACAUUUAAGCGAAAAUAGAUAUAAAUGAGUUAUUUAUUUGAUAUUUUAUCUUAAAAUAUUAAAUAAUGGUUAUUAGAAUUUUUUUUUCAAAAUUAACAAAAAGUAUAAAAAAAUAUCUUAUUAUUAAUUUUUUAUUCAUACUGAAACUUAUAUUUGUUAUUUUUAGUAUUUAAAUCUUUUAUUCUAUUUUCAAUUUAUAUGAUUUAUUCAGUUUAUAGUUAAAUCAAUAAAGUGUACUUGAAAAUAAGGAUUAUAUUGUAAAAUUAUGGUACCAGUGAGUCAUUAGGUAUUAUGAAAAUAAUAGGGAGUAAGUGAUAGAUAUUGAUUUCAGUGUAAGAAAAUUGACAAUUUUCCUUAUUAAUUCUUAUCAAUUAUUAUCUGAAUAGUGAAUUUGUAUUUACUAUCAUAUUAAUUCAAAAUCAAAUUUUAUAUUCUAACUUUAUAAAUAUAUUUAUAUUUUUACCCUUUAAAAUUGUUUUGAACGCUCAUUAAAAAAAAUUAUUGCCUAAUUGGCUUUCAAGGAAAUUACUUAGAUGGCCAUAACAAAUGAAUGAACAAUCUCUUUAUUUUCCGUCAAGUGGUCAGCUCUUGUACAUACUGCAUGGACUUGAGAAGGUGACAAAUUGACCACACACCGACAUUAUUUUAGGCAUUGUUGCAUAGGCCACGUCAAAGCCGUUGAAUUUGAAGCGCACAAAUCCAAAGGCCCAAAAAUAGCCACGUGAUGCUAGUUAAUGGAGAAAGUGACAGAAUCGACCGUAAAUAAAAGAGCAAAUUGGCAAAGGAAACACCGUGAGGUUAAGAGAGACAGCCAGAACAGUUGAGGAAACUACUUCUGCAGUACUGUAAGCGGAAAAAAAAGAAAAAAAAAAAGACGUACGAAUCAAGCAUUUUAUCUAUUGAUAUCGCAGAGCCUUGCAACAAACGUUGCAGAAAUUGGAUUAAUAAAAAUCAAACUUUAAGAUCUAUGAUCCUAUGCUCCAAUAAUAAUAAUAAUAAGGGUUAUUAUUAUUUUAUUACUUUAAAAAUUAUCAAAUAUCAAAUAACUACAACAAAUAUUAUUUCCUAUUAUUUUCUUACUAUAUCUUUAUAAAAAUAGCAUUUUACUACUUUUCUGUUAUAAUCUUGACAAACAAAAUACUAAUUUCACUCUUCAUGAUUAAAAAAAAAAUACUUAAAGCUUAUUUACAAAAUAAAUUUGUAAUAUAUUUAUUAAAAUGGAUAUAAAACACCAACAUAAUUAUUUUAACUGGAAUUAUGAUAUAUGGAUUAAAAAUUUAUCUUAUUAUUUUUUUAAUCAUGAAGGGUAAAAUUGAUAUUUUAUUAGUCAACUAACGGGUCAACUAACGGUUGUAAUGAAAAAGUAGUAAAAUGAUAUUUUUAUAAAAAUAUAAUAGGAAGAUGAUAGAAGACAACACUUGUUGUAGUCAUUUGAUAUUUGGUAAUUUUUGAAACAGUGAAAUGAUAAUAACUCUAAUAAUAAUAAUAAAGAUAUAUGAUUGACCGACUAAGACCGUAACCCCCUUCAAUAAUGUAUUUACUCUUUUCAUCCAUGCUCGUUAAAUUAGAUUGUUUCAAAUCUAACGGCUCAUCCAAAAAUGAAAAAAAAAUACAAGUUAAAUACAAGGUGUUUUUUUUCCCCCAAAUAGAUUCUCAUUAUUGCAAGACAAAAUUUCAAAAUAAACAAGUUAAAUGUUGUAGAAAAUCUUCACCUGUAUAAGAUAAUAAUAAUACCUAAAUGUGAUUUUUAACCAAAGCAUCAACUGCUCUAUUAUAAUUUUUAGAAACAUGGUCAAUCUUGAAAUCUUACUAAAUUAACAGUAGAUACUUCUUAUAAUUAUUCAAAAUAGCUUAAUACAAAUACAAUGAAUACGAGGUUAUUUGUCCUUGUUACUAGAUAGUGAAGCCUUUGAUGCAUAAUAAAAUGUUAAAAAAUAUGAAUUAACAUAAUAAGAUCAAAGACAAGAACUAUAUAUGCAUUUGUACUAUUAAACAAUUUUAUUUGCUAAAGUUUGUGUACUUGUUAAGACCUUGAAGGAUUUUAUAAAAAUAUUUAAUUGGAAAAUGUAUGUUUCCCUUUCACUUUUUGAGGAAAACAAUUUUUUUUUCUUUUUUAAUUGAAGGAAAGAAAAAUCAAGUCUAAACGCAGUAUUACACUCUUUAGAAACAUACAUUUUCCAAUUAGAAACAUACUCUUUAGAAACAUGGCCAAUCUUGAAAUCUUGCUUCAAUAACAGUAGAUGCUUCUCAUAACUAUCCAGAAUAGCUCAGUACAAAUACUAUGAAUAUAAGGUUAUUUGCCCUUUAUAUUAGAUAGUCGGGCCGUUGCUGCAUAAUAAAGUGUUAAAAUAUAAAUUAACAUAAUAAGAUCAAAGACAAGAAGUAUAUUUGCAUUUGUAACAUUAAACAAUUUUAUGUAGUUAUUUAUUUUUUAACUUCGAUCUUAUACGCAAUUAAUUUGCAAAGUUUGUGUAUUUGUUAAGGGAUUUUAUAAAAAAAUGUCUCGUUGAAAGAUGCAUGCACCCCUUUCAAUUUUUGAGGAAAACAAUUUUUUUUUAAUUGAAGGAAAUUUUUUUUAAUACAAUAAAAGUCCAAACAUAUUAUACUCUCACAACUACAUGAGAAUACUCAAACUCUCCACUUUAAUAUUAAGGAGAAGAGUGAUUGACCAAUAUUACCAAGGGAUCAUUACCAAUAAAAUAAAAAAUUACAGACCCUAAAAUGUAACUUUAAAGAAUAAUAAUAGAGUUAUAAAUUCUUAUAUAAGUAAUUUUUAUACAAAUUGAUAUGGUAUAAUAUCAUUGGUUGAGUAAAUAUAUAAUAUAAUAAAGAUAAAUCAUGUGGACAAUGUGUUGGUUUCAUUCAACCAACUAUGUUACAAAAUUAAUAUAAAAAUUUAUAGAUGUAUCAUUACUCUAUUUUAAGCGAACACAUUAAAAAAUCAAAAGCAACUUUGAGAUCAUAUCACUAAAAUGGUCCGAUUAAUAAAAAUGUAUAUACCACCAAAAAUGACCAUUAAAAAUUAAAGCAACUAUAUUACCUAUAAAAAUGACAAAAUUAUUAUAAAUGACCACCGUGAAUAAUGACUGCGUCAUUAAAAAUAAAAUAAGUUAAGAGAACAUUAGAACACGUGCAGGUCAUUUUAUUAUUGUUGUUUAAAUGUUAUUUAUCGCGAUAAAAUACCAAAAUUGCCCUUAUACCUAUCGCUAGAUUCACAGGUCUGGUUAAAAUUAAACCAUGGUUAGUUCACUCACGUGAUUAACUAACCCUACUGUUACUGCGAUGCUCUAAUAAUGAGCGCCCCCACACCGGCUUGAAAAAAAAAAAUUCAACAAUAAACUAAUAAUAAAAACAUAACCGUGGUUUGAUCAGUCACGUGAUUAACUAACCUUAUUGAAUGUAACUCAAUACUCUCUAAUAAUAAGCGCCACCACACCGGCGUUAAAAACAAAAAAAAUUGCAACAAUAAAAUAAUAGAAAACAUAUCAGAAUAAAUAAUGAUAUAAUUCAACAAAAAUUCAACGUCGUUAAAGAUUCCGUUAGAUUGAUGAAGUCCGUGAGGUGAUAAAAAUUUGCCACGGGCGCAUGCUAACUUGAUGAUAGACGGGUGUCGACGGUUCAAAGGAGGAGUAAUCAGGACCGUUUGAUUGAUGAUUGAUGGUCACGAAUGCUCGGUGUGGAACCGAGAGUAUGAAAGAGGGGUAUAAAACUGGUUUUAAAAGGGAGAGAGAAUUUCGUUUAUCAGAAGAAGGAAGGAGAGCACUUUGUGUUGUUUGUUCUCUCUCUGGUUUCUCUGCGAAUUUUCAUUCACUUUCUUUCGUUUUCUCAGAAGCCAAACAGACUACUUUGGCUGAGAAUUGACGAGAAUAUGAUAACGGAAUGUUGAGAAUCUGAAUCCAAUAGAGAGAUAGAGGAGAUUUAGAGGUGUGUAUUACCAACACACUUUUGUUUUUCAUUAUUAAGAAGAUCAAUUUAAAAAAAUUGGCCGGUAUAAUUGUUGUUUGGUUCAUGCUUUAGUUUACAGACAAAUUCAAAAUGACAAAAGACGACAUGGUUCAGUUGGCUUAGUGUUAAUUCCGUAUAAUUCAUCCUCUGAUAUAAUCAUUUUAUUUGUUUUGCAGAUACAUUUCUUAAGAGAAUAGAGAAAUUUCUGUAAGGGGAAGAUCAUAAUCUCUCAUUAGAGCAGGAGAUUUUCAAGUCUUUGAAAUGCCAAUCAUUUCGCUGAGAAGCUGAUAUACAUUCGAUUUGUAUUCUGCCGACUGAAAGAAGCAAAAAAUCGGCGAAUUUGAGAUAUUGGAGGUAUAAAAAACAAGCAUAUCGAUUUUCAUCUCGUCGAUUUAACUCGGGACCGGUUCUCUUUCAUUUCAGUUUUGAAUCGGUUUCCACUUGCUUCUUAUUACGAAGCUUAUACUUAAGUUCGACUCCGAUUCUCGUUUUUUCAGCUGUUUGGCUCUGGCGAGAAUUCAUCAUUAGCGUCUACAAGAAAUUUCAGUUCCAUGAAAAUCUUGACUUGUUAUUGAUGAAAUAUUUUUUUCGUUUUGAUUUUUGUUCUUUUGACCAUCUCUCAGUCUCGUCUUAUUCGAGCUUUAAAAUUUUUGUCAGUCUCGUCUUAUUUUGAGUUUUAGCUGUGGUUGCUUCUCAGAUUUUUCUCAAAUUACCUACGUUUGGUUACUGAGAAAGAAAGCAGAGAGAAAAAUAACAUCUCAGAACUUCUUUCCAUUCUCGAAUUGAUCUCUAGAACCAACGAAUUGGUUCUGAUUGUUGCAAUUCACGAUCCUUCUUUAUUUUCUUUUUCGAACAUUUUCUCGGCAGCCGAGCAAAAGCAUGGAGCUUGAGAAAUUUUUUCUCCGCUUUCUAUGCGUAUUCUUCGUCAGAUCCUCUGGAGUGAGUACGUCUGUGAUCUAUUUUUGAAUUAAAAUUCUCAUUUUCACUGCUGAUGACUAUUACAGCAUCACUCGGUAGAGAAUUCUGCAUUUUUUCAUUUUGAAAAAUCCUUGGCUGUCGGAUCUUCCUCUUCCAGUCUUCGGUCUUCCUCAGUAUUCAAUAUUUUUGUUGCAUUUUAAUAUAUGUGAUUCUUAUGGUAAGCCUACUUUUCUUCUCAAAAUUUGGGAAAAUUCUUAGCCGUUACUCUAAAAUUUUAAUUUUAAUCAUUCGUUUUAAAUGGCGUGGAAGUUGCCGGAAAGCCGAAGCCGUAUCCAAAUUGUUCAUUUUGUUUUUCUUUUUUAGUAUAAUUCUGCAAGUUAACCGUAAUUUAGGAUGAGUAAUUGUAAUUAACUUAUCUGAAUGGGACAGGUUUGCGAAAGGAGAUGGAUAAGGACUUGUUGAGAAGCGGUAAUAAUGGGAGCACUUGCAAAGAUGGGGGAUUAUUAAGAGCUAGCUCAGAGAUCAACACUAGGCAAACGGCGUCGUCUGAUUUCGUCUUACAGUGGGGGAACAGGAAGCGACUCCGGUGCAUGAAAGUUCAAGUCAAAGACGAUUCGUCCGCUUCGGCCCAUCGGACGACGGUUCGAGUCGUAAGAACCGACAAAGACACGUCCAAUCAGCCGAGUACUGCCACCGCUAACCAUAAUAUUGGUAACGGUUAUUUUAAUCUCCGUCGACGGCCAUCUUCGCCUCCGCCACCGCCACCGCCACCUCAGCGUGUGCUCAGGUAAUAACUCGGUAUCAUCGUUUGUUUGAUUUUAUGUUUGAAUAAAAACAGAGAUUUGUAUGCUUAUUCUUACGGCGCGUAUUAAACACUGUCGGCUGAGAUGGUGGAUCUUGUUUUUAGCUGUGGGGUUGUUCGCACUGAGGGCCUGAGCCUGAACCUUCGCUGGUGUUUGCGAGGCAACUGUAGUGUUGUGUGUAUGACGUUUAGAUAAUUGAAUGGGUUGCGCGUGGGCCCGUGACGCGCUUUGUGUCCGUGUUCGCAGUUUAGUGUUAGCUCCUUUAUUGUUCGAUUUCUAUAAUCCACAUUGGCGCGGAAAAAGAUUUCGAUCUGCUCUCUUUGAUGGGUCCCUUUUUACCCUUUAUCUUUAAUUAAUGGUUUUCUGCCGCAAGAAAUAUGUUUUACCGUGGUGAAUUAUAUUUUCUUCUUCAAUUGAAUUGGUGUUUAUGUUAAAUUAAUGUUGAAGAAAGAUAGUUGCCCUUUUCAGUAAUAGCAUGAAUUUGGAUCACCUUUAGUCAUUAGUCGCUGUUGGUACACGGUCACUGUCGACAUAAUUAGUUUGUGUAAUAUCAGUAAGCCCGGAGUCAUUCUGCAUUUCUGCUGAUAUUAUUAUUAUAUUUUAAAUUCCAAUUGCAGCCUUUAUGCUUGUUUUAUAAAAUUGGAAAUAAUUAGUUCAUAGUCUGGGAUAGUAUGUCCCUUGGUAUUGUACUAUGGUUUGAUACAUUUGUCUAUUUCUGGUAGUGGAGUGGACUGUUCCAGGAAUAGAUAAUAUCAUAUGAAUACUAAGCUGGCGUCUGAAUCUUGAUGCCUAAUAACAUUUCAGCAUCAAAUUAUUUUGCUUUUGCUGAAGUGGAGGUUAGUUGGAUCUACUUGUUCAUUACAAGAUGAACUUUUAAACUUCCAAAAUUGGGGCUGAGUACUUACUUAUGAGGCUUAUACUUGUCCAUUCACUAAUUGGUCAGGUUGGUGCAAAUCAGAACUCAGGAGAGCUGAUGCCUGAUGGUGAGUUCAUAAGGUCAGGGUGUCCUUAUAUUUACUAUUGCUUUAGUUUCUAGGAUUUGAGUCUUGCUAAAGUGGGUUGCCCAUGUCAUUUCACGAUCCUUAGAAUCUAAUAGUCGCGUUUGAAGUGUGUGAUCUAUAGAUAAUGCACUUGAGAUUUGGGGAUAGUUUCACUUAUUUAUAAAUUUGAUUAGUUUCUAGACUUUAGCAUAUAAUUGGUGAAGUUUUAGAUGGUGCAUUCUCCCAAUAUUACAUUUACUGAUUUACAUUCUUAAUUGGGAAAUUGGCUGUAAUCUUUGCUUUGUUAUUUGACUGAUCUGCGGCUGCUAAUUGUAGUUUUAUAUGGGGUUAUAUUUUUAUUGUUCUCGUUAUAAAUUGACAUUCUUUAGAACGUUUUUUUAUUUUUUAAAAUCUCAAAUUGCUUCUUUUGCAGAAGAUAAAAAUAAACUGAUCAACUCACAUUUUUCCUUUAUUUUUUGAAUAAAAAUGAGGGUAAUUUGAGAUUUUGAAAAGUGAUGAUUUGAAGAUAGUUAAGUCUCACAAUUUAUGUUUUAUUCUUUUCUUUUUCUAUAUUGCAAUCUUAUUGGACUGAUUUUGUUCAAAGUUGUGCAAAAGAAGAUUAGGUUGAUUAGCAUUCCUAAUCAAACUACUCUUCUUACUCAAUUGUGCUACUCUUGACCUUUUGCAUUUGCCUAGAGGGUAGCCAACUUGUCUUGAGUUCAUCACGCCUGAUUUUAGCCCAUAACGCUGCCAAAGCGUCCUCACAUGGUGGACUCGUUGGAACUUGGAACUAGGAAACAUGGAAUUAGUAAGUUCCUGCCACGCGUCCAAUGAUGCCCAAGUCUAAUCUCAACAAAAUUUCCGCCGUCGAUUGUAAUUGUAUUAGGAAUCUGGUCCACUCUAUCCUACAUGCCAACCCAUCCAUCAACACGUAGCCCAUACCUUAGAAAAGGAAAAUGAAUCCAACGGCCUACAAACCGCCCAUAGGACCAGCUGUGCUCGUUAGAUCGAGAUUAGAAUCAAAACUAUUUUUCUCAUGGCAGCCAAGUUAGCAAAUAUCAACACUUCCUAUUUGUUUAAAAAGCGCAAUCCAAAGUCUCUCCAAAGAAGCCAAAAGAAAAAAAGAACUCACCGUAUAUGACUUUCUUCUCAAAUUUAGCCCGACUUUACUUGAUCACUCCCAAGGUUAUUUUCGUACUUGCAUAAAAAUUCACUUCAGCACAUCACUUUUUUCACUUUUUCCUUAACACUCUACUUGACUGUAUUAAAUUUCAUUUUUAUUUCACAUGUUAUGUCCAGUUAAUUGAUGUGUUGUUAUGUGUGUAUUGUUUGUUAGGAAUUCUGAGAAUUCAAGUGCCAUGAGAGGCCAAAGCAACGGUGGUGUGAGAGGUUUUGCUUCACCAGAUAGGGGUGCGCACGAUAAGAGAGGUACCCGUCACAACAAUCACAACCACCACAACAAUGAUUAUAACAAAUCAGGGGCAUCAUCGGAAACAGCUCAUGAUAGCAAGAAAGGUGGAUCCUCUUCCGCUAGUGGCGAGGCGGCGCCACCCGUGUGGCCCCCGAAAUUUGUGAUUGCUUUAACCAACAAAGAGAAAGAGGAAGAUUUCAUGGCCAUUAAAGGGUCUAAGCUGCCACAGAGACCCAAAAAGAGAGCAAAGUUUAUUCAACGCACAGUCAAUGUAAGCUUUUCUUAUUCUUUCCUUGUUUAAUCCUUCAUGAUAUCUAGACUUAUCUACGAUGUUGUUUUAGUUAUUUUAGAAUUUAGAUUUAACGAAUUUGAUUCUAGUUGCAAUUUAAUUAUCGUGAAUAAUCAUCUGUAGGAAUAUUUUAUUGGGGUACAACAUUUAGGAGCACAAGGUACAAUAGAUCUCUUGCGGCCUUUUGAUGAUAUUUUGGGAUGGGACACGGUUUUUAAGAAUGUAGCUGUUACUACAAAUAUGGUUGCUGGGUCGGACCCUGAUUUAUGUGAAACUAUGAUCUACUUUAUUAUUAUUUUUUUAUUAGUCUUCAAUUUUUGUUUUCGCUUAAAAAUAGGGCUGUGUGUAAAGUGACCAGUGAGAUAUACAUGUCCACGUGUCGGUAAAGGCGUGGACGUGUACCUAAAAAUGACCUGUAGUAACGUUAGCCUCCCAGUGACCGAGUCCUGGUUUGGGUGCGGGAUGUAGAAUAAAUUAACAAAAAUCUGGGGUGGGAAUAUUACCCUUGCCCGAGUUUUGUGCUUUGAUAAUCAAAUUUCUCUUGAUUUAGUCGGAAAAUUCCAUUAAAGUAAUGGUACAUAUUUUAAAUCUUUUGUUUUUAAAAAUUAUUCUAAAUAAUGUGGCAUUCCGUAAUGCAGUAAUUCAUACUUUACUUCGUGGGGGAGAUAAUUGAAUAACAAGAGACAAUUGAGUUGUCAUUAAGUUUUUUCUGUUUUUGAUUUUUUUUAUGUUUAUGUUCCAAUUUAUCAAAAUCAAAUAUUCUUACGACCAAUAAGAGUUACUUAAGUCAAGAUUUUACCGUAAGAGAUUAUCACGGUAAUACCGCAAUUUUGAAUUUAUUUUACUUUUCUUGGCUACGGGGAGUUCUUUUUUUUUUUUUUUAAAGAAAGCGUUGAAAAUGUUGGAUAUGUGGAAAUGAGUAAUAAUAGAGUUAUAAUUACCUUCUAUAAGUAAGUGUAUAUAAAUCGAAGUGACGUGACGGAAUUAGUUAUAUAAAAUUAUUAUGGGUUUAUAUAAUUAAAAAUUAAUUAUUAUUAUUAUUAUUUUUAGCUAAUUUUUAUCCGUCAUUAAUUUGUAUAAAUUAUAAAAUCAUUCGUGGGUUUAUCAUUUUACAAGAAUAUGAGGGGGUAACAGAAGGAUAAUUUUUAAAAACGUUUGAGCUUGUUGCAAGUAGAUGGCGAGAAUUAGUUUAUUUGUAAAAAAUCUCCUACCGUCAAUUAAUUUUAAUAUUGACCGUUAGUUGACUGUGCAAAGACAAUAUUAUCCUUAACAAUAGUUUGUAGACGGAAAUAACUAAAAAAAAAUUAAAAUUAUUGGUUAUUUUACACUCUUUAAAUUAUUGAUAUUUUUUUAAAGUUUCUACAAAAAAGAUAAAAUUAAAAACUUGAAAAAUUUUCUUUAAAUUAUUGAUAUUUUCUUAAAGUUCCUACAAGAAAGAUAAAAUUAAAAACUUGAAAAUGAAAUAGUCAUAAUCUUUACUUAUGAUAUUAUAAAUCUUUGGAAUUGACAAGGAUAAUAUUGUUAAAAAUAGGGUUUGUGCUUUUCGCGCCAAUAAUUUUAAUUUUUUUUUUAGUUAUGUCAGUCUAAAAACUAUUGUUAAGGGUAAUAUUAUCUUUGUACAGUCAACUAACGGUCAAUGUUAAAAUUAACUGACAGUAGGAGAUUUUUUACAAAUAAAUGAAUUUUUGUCAUCUACUUACAACAAAUUUAAACCUCAAGGAAAGUUUUUAAAAAUUAUCCGGUAACAGAAUGCCUUAAACGUGGUACGUGGGGUCAACAAGGACGUGGUAGUACAGAGCUGGAAACUGUAUUUUUCUCUUGGUUUUAACUUUUAAACAUUAUGAGUGUCUCAGAUUGAGAUGGAGGGAUCAAUCUGCAACACGUGUACGAUGGCGAUUCAAUAGACAACACAAACUUAUCAACGAAGUAAGGUCCAAAUACUCACCAAAGGUAAUAAUAUUCUUCGUAAAAGUUUAACCGACGGAAGCGGAUGGGCCCUUUGCCCAUUAUUGUGGGGCAUUUCCGUAAUAUGGACAUUGCUUUUUGGUGAAUUAACUUUUCUUGUCUCUAAUAGUUUUUAAUGAUUAAUUUUCUCUUUAUUGAAAUAAUAUUUAAGAAUAAUUUAUAAUAAACAAUGGAGGUGGUUUCGUGACUCUUGUAGUGGUCCUCCAGGCUGGACCACACUGACAGUGCGUGGAGAGCAAAGAUUGCACGUAGUUUUUCGUCCAUAACUUUCUUAAACGCACGACUUGUAGACGAUUCUUUUUGCAAGUAGUUUUUUUCUUUUUGAGGUUGCAAGUAUCUUCUUGCUUAUGGUGGAAUUAUUUUUUUUUACAAAUUAAUUGAAAUCAUAACUGUUUUAAAAAAGCACAGGAAUCUCUCUUUAUUGCAUCCCAAUCAAAAUCAAAAUCUGAAAUUAAAGGCCAAAGUUGCAUUGAGUUUAUGUUUUUCUUUGCAGCUGGUAAGUCCCGGUGCAUGGCUAUGUGACCUGACCCUUGAACGUUAUGAAGUUAGAGAGAAGAAAAUCUCCAAGAAGGUACUUUUUGUAUUACAACUCCCCAAUUGGAGAAGCAUUUACAUUAAAAAUUAAUGGAGCAUAAUGUUUGUAUCGGGGAUCUAAUCUGAUGCAGAGACCGAGAGGAUUGAAGGCUAUGGGUAACAUGGACUCAGACUCAGAGUAGAGGAAGAGGAAGAUGAAUAGCUGUUGAUAGCUGUUGUUUUUUGUUUGUUGAGAAUAUGACAAAAUGUUGCUACCCUGUAAAUCGUUACCUUUCGUCCCUCCCUCUGAGAUGAAUGAAAGGAUAAAAUUUUAGCCAUAUCUUCUCUCUUCUCUCUUCUCUCUUUCUCUCUUCUCUCUUCUCUCUCUCGGUUAUUUUAUUAUUAUUAUUAUUAUAGAGGCAUCAGGCAUCAACACCUGUUUUUGUUUUGCUUAUAUUUUUCUUUUGUUUCAGCUUUAUUUAGGUGCUGGUUGACUGAGCUGGUCACGCUUUAGGCCCAGUAGUGGGCUACGUCCAUUUUGCUGGUUAACAAGUUAAAAGCUACUUUACCAACUUGGUAUAACCUGUCUAAAGUGGGAGUGACGAAUGUGCCACUAGCUUUGCUUAUAGACAAAGCAAGGCUAUUUUCGCACAUUACAAGAUGGUUGAGCUGAAGUUCAUGAAUAAGCUCAUUGGCUACUGGACAAAUAUGGAGUACUAAUAUAAAUUAUUUCUGCACAUUUUAUUGUGCAAAUUAAUACGAAGAGACCUACAUCAAUUAUUUUUUAAGUUAAAAAAUAAUCAAUUGCACAAAGCGUGCAACAAUAAUAUAAAGGGUUUCGAUUAUGUUGGAGUUUACUUACAGUGGUGUGUGAACUUCAGUCAUACAAUAAUAUAUAAGAGUUUGAUUAUGUUGGAGUUCACUUACGGUAGAGCGCGAAUCUCAAUCAUACAAGGAAAGUGAUGAAUAAUAAAAAAUGAGUUAUUUUUUUAUUAUUUAUUAUUUUACGUGUAAUUAAAAUUCGUAUUUUACCGUAGGUGAAUUCCAACAUAUCAAUAACCUAAUAUAAAAUGUCAUCUCAAACUGUAUUAAUGGAAUAAUUAGUGCUUGUUAAAGAGUUUAUAUUUCUAGAAUUUUUGAUUUAGUAUAUAAUUAUGUAGGGCAAAGCAAACGGGAAUCAACAAUUACGUGGUAGGGUCCACAAACCAACUAUAAUAUUCGUACAAGCUAAGCAAAUGUUGGGGAACUCCAGGUGGGGGGUUGGGUGGGGGCGAAUGAAAAGGGAGAACAACCUCAGCUCACCGGUCAAAUAAUACGUUGCAAAUCACGCUUAGCCAUUGAUUACAAAAGGAUGGUUGGGCCGAAUGAGUCAAUUUCGCAAAGACUGCCUUGUCCAACAUAAACUUUUCGAAAAUCAUCAUUCUGGCGACUUCUUCCAAGGCAUCGCCAAGUGUAAUGAUAUACCCCUAUAAACCAACAAAUUGAAUCAUUGCACAUUUGAUCCCCCUGUUGUUUUCUGUUUCACGAAGGUGCCACAGACCCGAUGACUUGGACUUGGAAUAAUUAAAAAAAGGCCAAAAAAAAAAAAAAUGUUCCUGUUGGUCAUGUUAAAGGCACAGAUUCCCCUUCUCCUCCAAUUCUCUCAUUCAUUGUCCUUUCGCACAAUUGCACAUGGGAAUGGGAGUGCAGAAGCCAAGGAGUAAGCGUGUCAGCUGUGCCUUGCCACUUGGGACUUUUUUGUUUAGGGAAGAUACGAAUUACUGUUUACAAGUGCAUUACUUUUACUUAUCAUCGAUUCUUGUGGGAAAUGUAUUUCCUCUUCUGUCGUCCGGCGAACGCGAUUCGAGUGAAAUAAAAUUAAAUUGAUUUACAUAAAAAAAUUAAAAGAAAAGCGGAUAGUGAAUGAUAUAUAACAUAACAACAAAAGGAAUAGCUUAAUAUAUACUGAUAAUAAUCAUAAGUCUCCAAAAUAACAAACAUAAAUCAAAUCAUAUCAUCACAUCUCCGUGAGCUACAAAGCAUAACUGAUAACUCUCUCUCAUUAUAAAAUUUAUAUGUAAUAAGACUCACUCCCUAAAAGACUAAAAACCCAGUGGAUCCGCCGCUACUAAGCCCACAUAACGUCUAAACAACGCAAAAAAAGAAAAAAAAAUGAAGAAACCACUCUACACACCCAAUAAGCUAGUGACACGUAAUCAGAUAGAGAACCGGCCUCUUAAACCCUGAGAACUGAGCCGAACACCAGAGCGGAAAGGAGAGCGACACCAGCGGCGGCUAAGGAAGGCGAGAUCGAGCCGGCUCCGGAAGCGGGAGCUGGAGCGGGAGAGAGAUCUUGAGCCGACCCUGCGAGAACCAAGGCGGCCAGGACAACGGCCAUCAUCAGCGUAGCCAUUGAAGCCUUUGAGAAUGCCAUUAUUGAAGCCUUUUUUUCUCAGGGUUUUUGAGAGCGUAACCGAAGGAAGCUGAGAGAGAUUCUUUUUCCUGUGUCUGUAUGUGGGAAGUGUUAGUAUUUAAGACAUGAGAAGAAAAUAGUGAGGUUUAUUUAUAGACUGAAAAGUGUGGACGGGAAGAGAGAAUUUCGGGCAGCGGCCCGGAUUUUUCCAGUCUGUCUAUUGGUUUCUUGACAGCUAUGUUUAUUUGUGGGGCCCAGUUAAUUAUAAUUUCACGCGACCGUUUAGGGUAUCGAACGGCGAAGCGACGUCGUGUCGGUUCACGAGUGUGACUUACGCCGAGGAAAUAAUUGAUUCUUUGGGAUUGGGAAAAAUUUGAGCAAAGUAAAAUUACGGAAACAGCAGCGAAUUAUAAUAUCGCAGUCUGUGAUAAACUUGAUAACUAUCUACUUGAAUUGAUAGGACAUAUAAAAAGAACAUUGUAUUAUUUAAAGGAUUGAAUAAUUUAAUUGAUAAAAAUCUCUUACCGCUAAGUUUGGAGAUCCAUUUGCACUCAAAUUUGGUGGAGGAAAAUUUUGAUUUCAGUUGUGUUAUGUUAUUAACAAAAAUUAUUGUUCAAAAAAUGCCUUUUUGUAGCUGCAAUAAAUGAGAAAAUUUUAAAGUACUUUUUUUUUAUUAUUUAUAUAAAUUGAACGAAAUCUUGGUGUGAUUAUUUUGUAAAUUCUCGAGAACUUUUGGGGUGGGGUGGGGGAUUUUGUGUAUGAAUGUAUGAUGAGUUCAUUGAAGAGGCGAAUGUUUAAUGGUGGGAUUGAUGAUUAGGGAUCAGUGAUGGUGCAGUUGAUUCCGCUACAAAGAUUUUUGUAAGCGCCCACAGACAGCCCACGUGGGAUGCGGUGGCUCGACCAUUAGGAGGAGGACGCGUGGAGACGUGGAAGGGCACGGGCUUUUUUAAUAUUCGAAUUUUGAAUUUGAAUAAUCGGAUGUGGACCUGUGGACAGUAUGAAAUGAUCGUGAAUUUUGUGGGUUUCCAGAACUUUCCGUUUGGCGUGUGCGACUGUGUGUUCAUUGGCAGGCACAUGUAGGAGUGUUACGAAGUUUACGCGUUAAACGUAUGCGGAAAGAAAAUGGUUUAACUUUGGGUAAAUGUUUAAAAAAGGAAAUUUCAAUCAACGCUUCUUCUUCUUCUUCUUUUUUUUUUUUUUAUUCCAUAAAAGAAGAUCUUUAAUUUCUGUAAUUAUAUCAUAAUUGAGUCCAAGAAGAUCUGGCUGCAUUGUUGUAAUUUUAUUUAGUUAACCAUAUAAAUUUGAGUCCCGAAGUUAAAAACUUAAUUUUAAUUUUAACUGCUCUUCCAUCUUCUUUUUGUUUUUGUUUUUGUUUUUAAAUGAUCAUGAAACACCUCUUCUCAUUAAUUAAUGUAGAAAAAAAAAGGUUUCAACCACUCCUACGUAUAUUAGCAUGAUUUCUUUUUUAAAUAUUAUUUGAUUGGUAUCAUUGCAAAGUUAAUUUAGAUUCAGUAGUUUAUUUUGGCUAAAACAUCAUAUAUUUAAGAUGCAUCAUCAGAAAAUUGAUUUAGAGUCACCUAAUUUUGAGCUCAAAUAUUAUAUAUUUGCACUCACAAUCAUAUAAUUGGUUUAGAUUUAAUCUGUUUUAAGCUCAAAUAUGUAGCUAUCACAUAAAUAAUUUAGAAUGUUACAAUAUUCUAAGGGCGUGGUCGGGUUAAUUAUAGUGCAGUUGUAGCCUCUACCAAAAUCCGGGUUCGAUUCUUAGAGAUCAAGAUUAUGUUUAGGCUCGCCCACCUCCUCUUACUUUAAAAAAAAAAAAUUUAGAAGGUUACUAAUAUUUUUUUAAUUAUAAAUAUCAAUAUAUAUUGUAAUGUAAUAUUCUUUUUUUUUUUAAAAAAAAAAGGUCAGGUAGAAUUGAUCUCCCUCAUACCAAAUUUUGUAAAAAAUAAUUUAGGUUAUGCCGAUUCAUAAGAUGAGGGGUUCAUAUAGUUUAGUUCAGUUGAUAAUUUUUUUUUUUUGGUUGAAAAAAGAGAUAUGAGAUUUAAAAUCAGUUUAGGUGAGCAAGGACGGUUUUGGGUUGUCACCGAGCUAAAUUAAAAAGGAUUAAUGAGAUGAGACGAGUGGUUUGUUAAAAAGAAUAGUGCCACAUAUUAUAAAGUUUGUGUCAAAAAAAUUCAUCCUAUAAAAGAAGAGACACUCCUAAUAGGCAUGAAAAAAAAUACAAUAAAUCGUUUUAAAACAUAACUGUGACUAGAACAUCCCCUUGUGAAGAUAUAUUUUUUAUUUUUUUAAAAAAAAUUAUUUAAAUAUCUCUAAUGUUCAUGCAACAAAUACGAUGAAUAGUCACAAGGGCAGUCUAGAAAAAGGCAUUUACAAAUACACGGCGGGCCAACAAAGAAUCAUUCACCUUCUAAUCCUUCGAUGUCUGCUUGCAACUCAACUAAACUAACAGCAUUCCAAAAUCAGCAAGAAAACGAUUUAAGAACUUAUUUUGGAAUGCUAUUAGUUUUUAAGGAUUAAUGAGAUGAGAUGAGUGGUUUAUUAAAAAGAGUAGUACCACCUACUGUAAAGUUUAUGUCAAAAAAAUCCAUCCAAUAAAAGAAGAGACACUCGUAAUAUGCAUUAAAAAAAAACACACAAUAAAUCAUUUUAAAACAUAACGUGAAUCAAACAUCACCUUAUGAAGAUAUAUAUAUUUAAAUAUCUCAAAUGUUCAUGCAACAAAUGCGAUGAAUAGUCACGAGGGCGGUCGAGAAAAUGCGUUGACAAUUACACGACCGGCCAACAAAAAAAUCAUUCACCUUCUAAUCCUUCAGUGUCUGCUUGCAACUCAACUAAACUGAUAGCAAUUAGCAUACCAAAAUAAGCCAAAAAAAAAAAAAAAAAAGAUUUAAGAAUCUUAUUAUUUUACUCGUUAAUAUUGCUAAGCAUAUGGCAGCCCUGGGCGGCUGUGGAGUGCAGCCUGGCGUUGGAUUUGCUCACAGACAGGACCUGUAAGGCUGAAACAACACGGCAGCAACAAAGAAAGUAGUUUUAUUUACGUAAUACAAUUUUUUAUACCUUUAUUUUUUAUCUGCAUGAUUUAGUUCUUACACAGACGUGCUAACGAGAAUCAUCCAGUAGCUGGUGUCACUUGUCAACUACUCCUUAACUUAAAGAGCAUAUUUGGGAUUGUCAAGUAUUCCCAAAUUAGUGAUUAUUUGAGAAUUUGUUAUCACAUAUGGUUGGUUCGAGUUAUUCUCUCAGACAUAUCACACCAAUAAUCAUCAAAUAAGUGAGAAUCAAACAAAAUUUGAAAGCAAAUUCUCAAGUAAUUGGUUAGAUUGUAUGAAAAUUUGACUUGUGAAUAUCAAGUAACCUCAGAAUUAGAAUGACUGUAAUGUAUACAUUGGCAUUUACUAUUUACUAAUCACCAAUCAUAGCUUUCUAUUUGGCUCAAUGGCUGAGUGCAAAUCCAGAUGAGCAUGAAAUUCAAAUCAACUCAAAAACCGUUAGAGAAAACAAAAUAUCUUUGAAGUAGUUAUCACUUCAUUAUUAUCAGUAGGAUGAAAAUGAUCGAAGUUAAAAACGUCCAAAAUUAUUAAAUUCAUUUAUCUAACCUGAAUAAUGGACACAUAUACCACGUUGGCUGUCAUUCCUCUGUACAUACAAGAAUCUCACUGUAUCAUCAAAGAGGCUAAUCCUAUGUAACAGUCCUCUCAAUUCGUAUUAUGCAACACGUCUAUCCGAAAAGCUCCUAAUCAUCUUUCUUCCUCGGCUAUUACCAUUCAUUCAAAAGUCAACUCAAAAGGUAGACAAAUUUAUUUGUUAAAAGCCCAAAACUUUAGAUGAUAUAUUCAUCAGAGGUUGUAAAGCACUCGGUGCAAAUUUUCUUCCAAAGAGAAAGCAAACUGUAGAGGGCUGGUUAUUGUAUUUGCAAUGCUGACCUCCAUAAACUUUCUUGAAAAACUCCUCUGUUAUGUCGGCUCUUCCGAAUGUGGCUGGAUGAGCACCACCUCUCGACCAAUCAACCCAAGUGCUGCUUCUAUUUGCCAAGAGAUUUGGCAUUUGAAUAGAUAGCAUGGUGGGAAAAUAGUGUUCGUCCACAUAACAAGGUGGUCUACAGAAUUCCGCGAAUUUUGGAUAAUAUGUAGUAUCUUCCACAAUGUUGACUGCAAGCCUUCGGUUGAUUUCAAACCAUUGGGAUCCUUUGCGCCACUGGGUAAUGUUCACCACAGGUGCCAUGUUCGCAUUGUAGCGUCCUCUCCCAUAUGGUCCAGGGUCAUCAAAUGAACCCAUGAAACUAUGUUUGGAUUUCUUUAUGUAAUGGUAGAUGAGGGAGAAAUUAUAAAGAGGAAUGCAAGACUCAGAGACAAGAAUGAACCAUUCAUUGGAGAUAUCAAGCAAUGCAUUAGCAAGGAGUCUUCUCUCAGCAUCGCACAUGCUCAUUUUUCCCCAUUCAGAGAUCUGCAAAGGGAAGAUACAGAAGACAUUACAAUCUCCUCUAAAUUUUGGGAAAUAUUGUAUUCAAAGCUAUGUGCUAAAGUAAAUAGAAUAAGCAGAUAAAGCAUAACCAUCAAAGGCUUUCAGAAGAAUGCAAGACAGUUCCACUACCAAACACUUCACCUAGAACAUGUAAUGAUAACAUUUGGUAAAGGUAAUCAUAAAACCUGUUAUUUUCCAGGAUCAAAGGGUAUCAAGUAUCAAUUUUACAUUUGGGACAGGAUUAUGGUAGCUGCUUGUUGUUGAAAUGGCACUGUAGCAGAGCUAACCAAAUCAGAUCUCCAUUUCUUGGAGGAUUUGUAUCCUGUUCCAGUUACUACAAGGGGGCAACUCAAGAACAUACAUGUCUUCCUACUUGUCCAAUACAAAAACGUAGGGAGAAAAAAAAAAUCAAAUAAAACGCACUUCGUCGAGCCAAUAUACAUACAGACAGCUCAACCCUCCCCCUUGGUGUUUUGGGAUCCAAAAUUUUUCACCUCCACACGAUAUAUGGCAGUGGUUACCAGCCUUAGAUAAACUUACACUGUUGCAGUUCCCAACUUUCAAAAUUCAACCCAAAAAAUGACCGACUCUUAUUGUUGAUCAUUCACUCAAACCCAGUUUUGCUGGUGAAAGUUAUAAUGUAUGCCAUCAAAUUAAUUAGAAAAUGUUUGCCAAGUAACAUUCAAGAAUGCCACCAUGUCAUCUAUGGAUUGUCCGCUCCUGCUAGAUUCCUCGCAAUUUCUCAUGGACUCCAAUAAUCCGUAAGGCAAUCAGGGGAAAAAAAAAGGAGCAAAAUUUUAACUUGGCUAAGCAAAAACAGAAUAUAUUUAGUUUAUAAACAGAAUCUGUUAAUCAGCAUAUUCCUAUUCAACAGAGUAUUUCUAGACUUUGAUCGUGAAUCACCAUGCAUAUAAAAGUGAUGAUGCUAAAUGGGAACACUACUUUCUACUUUCAAACACCAAGAGCCUACAGAUGACUGAGAGGUCCUAAGAACUGAAGAUUGUUAAACAAAAUUCGGAAAGCUAUGCAAGCAUGCUAACACUAUAUAGAUCCUCAAAAGAAUAAUUCACAUUAUAGGUAAAAAAUAAAGUACUGCUCAUCAUCACUCAAGAGAAGAAGAUCAUAACUUACAUCGUCAUAUAAUCAAUAGUACAACAAAGAUGAUCAGAUGAAGUUUCCACCAGAAUUUUAAAUGAAUAAAUAAAACCUGCAAUAGAUAGAUAUAAUGUCAGGCAUACCUGACUUGGGAUUUGUCUGUUGUAAAAAACUGAUGAAGAUGGAAACUUGUUCUCGAAUGUUGGCAGAGAAUGAACAUAGAUAGAAUAUAGCCCUUCAUGCCCCUUGAAAAACUUCUCCCAAAGAGGUCCAAGAGGUAAUGGCCCCUUCGUCAAGAACAUAAAUGCAAUCUUUGGAACUCUCUUAAAGGGAUACUCCUUCACUCGAGGCACAAAUGAGGCCCUCCAAAAAAGCUCCUUAUCACUCAUUGUGUGCAUUAAAUUUGAUGGAGGAUUUAUCCAAUAAUCCAAACCAUUCGGUAGUUCAGGGCAUGCCACAAAACUGGACUUAACCGUUGUCACAACACUCUGGACUCCAAACCGACGAACUGAGUAUAUACUAAUCAACGAAAAGGCUAUACACAGAGCCAGAAACAAACCAAAUAACUGAAAUAAUCUCAGUGGCAAGGCCCUAAAUUGAUUUGUCUUGUUAACAACUGCAGGGUCUUUGCCUUCCUCUAGCGGAACAACCCUUGCUUGCAUCUUUAUAACUCUAAAUCAAAUCAAAAUUUCACCUUCUGCGUCAGAUCCAAAUCAACAUCCUAGCAUCAAAAGCACUACUAAGCCUCAAAAUACCAGCUAAUUUAUUCACCAGAGCUAGCAAAAAAAACAGCUUUUUUUAAAUAUUUGAAAUUUGUGGAAUUCAAUAUGUUUCAGCAAAACAACCCCACUUAGCAACAGUAACGAAAUUAGAUCUAGAGCUGACACUACAGUACUCAAAAAGCAAGUAUUAACAGAUAUAGCACAAUCAUCAGCUUUCACAGCACAUGGGUUUCUUGAAUAAGAAGCUCUUAGCAAAAAUCAAAAGUCCAGAUCGGACUACUUGAUAGUCUAUAGAUCAAACGAAACCAUUAACGUGAUUGGUGGGGUGAUGAAAAACAGUACACGAUGGUGAACGUUCAACAUACCAUGUAAAUUUGUUGGGGCUAUAUGAGGAAACAAAGUUUGAAGCUUUAGCUCGAAUUGCGCCACCAAAGAAGAGAAACAGAACGGUCAAAUAAAUGAACAAAGUUAGGCAAAGAAAAUAAGAGGAGAAAAAGAGAAAAGUCCUUGGGACGCCCAAAGAGAGAGAGAAAAGGAGGUCCAAGAAAGUGGGGAAUCAAGGAAAUUUUGAGUGUGUGUGUAUGUAUGUAUAUAUAUAUAUAUAUAUAUAUAUAUAUAUAUAUAUAUAUAUAUAUAUAUAUAUAUAUAUGGGACUUUGAAUUUGAGGAAAUCACAGAAUUGUAAUUAGGUGAAUUGUGAAAUGUGGAGAAUUCAAAGAAUGUUUUUUGAUUUAACACGUACAGUGGAAGUGUCUGCUUCGUCUUUUGUGGGUUAGCCGUCACCAUGUGAGAGGCGGUUUUUGCAAGGUAAUAAUACGGCAAUGUCUUGCUGUCAUUUUGUAACGUUUUGGAAAACAAAUUUACCCUGAUUCAUUUGCCUUGAUAGAUCCUUUUUUUUUUUUAACCUUUUUUUUUAUAACUUGAAAUAGAAUGAAAUUAGUCAAAAUUUAAAUUUGAAUGAUAUGUAAAUUUUUUUAAAAUUUUUAAAAAUAAAUAUUAAAUUAUUUGUUUUUUAAUUUUAAAAAACUGACAGCCUAUACUUUUACAUUUUUACCCUUACUAAAUUUAAAUGUUGAAUAAAUAAUAUAUUUUUAAAAGAACUUAAAUAUGAUAAUAACAUUAUCUUUUUUUUUAAAAAAGGAUAAUAACAUUAUCUAAAUCAUCUUCAAGUAAAUGAUUUAUGAAAUCAUUCACUUGGCAUAGGGUUGUUCUAACUUAACCAAUGUUUUUUAUUCGAAUCUUGAAAAUGCAGUUGCGUUAAAUACUUAUUGGAAGAGCUUUGACGCCCUAGUGGUCUUACCCAGCUCGAAUUUGAAUUAGUCGAGACCUAAUGUAGUUUCGGAUACCAAAUAGUUUAAUACACGAAAAAAAAAAUUUAUAAAAUUAUAAUAUAAAAAGUUCUUUAAAAUUAUCACAAGUUCACAAUGCUAGUGCGUAAUAUAAGAAAAAACUAACAAGAUACUUGGGAAGUAAAAAAAAAGAAAGAAAAAACUGAACAAAAAUUCUACAAGAAAAGACUGUCAAUGGAAUCAAUUAUGGACUAUCAAAGGCCAUAAAGGAGAUUCAAGAAAUCCUUCGCGUGAAUGUUGUGUCUCAUCAUGAAAAGUAUCUUGCCUUGCCAUCUAUGGUAGGGAAAAACAAAAGACAAUUCUUCAAGUCGAUCAAGCUUCGAGUGCUCAACAAAUUAAAAGGAUGGAAGGCCAGGCUCUUCUCAAGCGGUGGGAAGGAAGUAUUGUUAAAGGCUGUCAUUCAAGCCACUCCUGUUUAUGCUAUGGGCGUUUUCAAGUUGCCAAAAUGCUUAUGCGAGGACCUACAGCGUUGCAUCACAAAUUGUUGGUCGGCCAACUAUGAUGACUCUAAAUGCAUUCACUGGCUUUCUUGGAAGAAUCUUUGCAAGCCAAGGAAGGACGGGGGGCAUGAGAUUUAGAUAUUUAGGUCCUGUUUGUGAUUGAAGUAUGCUGUUAAAAAAAAUUAUAGUUAUAUUAUAAAAAUUAAUAAUAUGUAGUAAAUAUAAAUUUUAAAUAAUAAUUUUGACAAAAUUAUUAAAGAUAUAAUAGAUUUUAUAUUAUACAAGUGAAAAAUCAUAUCAAUCUAAUUUUUAACUUAUAGCAGUUAGUAUUUACUGAACACUUUAGUGCUGUAGCUUAACCUCAAUCUCAAACGCGCUCUUAAGUUCCUUUAAUUAAGCGCUCUUGGCCAAGCAAUGUUGGGGAAUACUACAAGCACCUGAGUCUCUUUUGGCCAAAGUUCUUAAAGCUAGGUACUUUUCCAACACAAACUUCCUAAGUAGCAAAAUCAAAAGCGGCUCAUCUUUUGUAUGGAAGAGUACUCUAUGGGGCCGUGAAGCUAUCAACACUGGCUCAAGAUGGAGGGUUGGCGCUGGUAGGAGCAUAUUUAUUUAUAGAGAUAAUUGGAUGCCAAGUCCAUUAUCUUUUAAACCUAUAUCCCUGAAGACAUGCAUUGCCGAGUGAUUCUAAAGUUUCAGACCUGUUAAUAAAUGGUAACGAAUGGAAUGAGCAGCUAAUAAAGUAAUUCUUAAAAGGAGUCCCCUUGCCACGAGUCCCUACUAAUGACAUUUUAGUGUGGCGUUAUGAAAAAAAGGAGGAUUUUACACAGUUAAGAGUGGUUAUCAAGUGUCCCUUAUUCUCACUCAUCCUAAUUCCCCUUCAAGUUCAUUUGGCUCCGCUAAUUGGUGGUAUCCCUCUUGGCUUUUAACCAUUCCAUCUAAAGUCAAGAUCUUUUUCUGAAGAGCUCUACGCAAUAUACUCCCUACAUCAAAUAAUCUUUUUCAACGAAGGGUAGUGGAUUCCCCACAUUGUCAACGAUGUUACAGUGCUGUUGAGGACACCUUUCAUGUGCUAGUUAGCUGUAAGUUUGCGAUGAAGGUGUGGAAGUUGUCAACUAUGGCUGCUCACGUCACGAAUAGCCCUAAUAUGGAUUUUGCAUUUUUUUUGCUAAGAAUUUGGAAUCUUCGCUGUCAAAAGAGGACUACUAAUCUUUUGUGAUGAUUGCAUGGUCUAUUUGGCACUCUAGGAACAUAGCGCUCUAUCAACAUCAGAUGAUGGAUCCACAAAAUAUUCUUUGUGGCUGAAGCUGUUUUGAAUUCGACACUGCUACUCAAGGCUCCCCAAUUCAAGAGCUAUCGGUCUGUCCAACCGAGACGGAUGUUGGUUGGAUUCCACCAGAGACUCAUUGGUACAAAAUGAACGUUGAUGCAAACACUGACAUCUCUAAUGGAAUUACAAGUUUGGGUGCAAUAAAAAGAAAUUCCAAGGGAGAUUUCAUGGCUGCCUCAGCUCGCAAGAAAUCUUUUCUUGGUGACGUUGAGAUUACAGAUGCUGAGGUUGUCCUACAAUGCAUCAAGCUGGCGACAGAUUCGGACUUCUCUCCCUUGAUUGUCGAAUCUGACUCGGCAAAUGUUGUUCUUGUUGCAAAAAUAGUAUAUCGAUAUGCUACUUCGAUGGCACAUUUUGAGUGGGUUCCACGUAGCGAAUGUGGAAAAUCUUGUGAGGUUUGGAUUCUACUCCAUGAAAACUUCGAAAGUGUAUAUUUAUGUACUUAAAAUGGUGCUUGGCUGAAUGACAAAUUGUCUCUCAAAGUGCACUCUUGAAGUUGAAAAUUUGAAAGGAAAUGAGUUUUAUCCCACAAGGGAAAAUAAGUCAAGGGAUUUGUGUUUAUAUAUACACUUACCCAUGCAUGAGUAAGAAUUAUAAGGAUAGAGGUUUUCUCCACACGCGCAUGCGCCGGGGGAGGGGGUGUUGUAAAUUCUAGACUUAUUUGGUUAAAUUUGUGUGCGUCCGUGCGUCCUGCGCACGCGAAUAUCAGUCCAAAAUCACCCAAACUUGCAUGUCAAACAAGUUUUUAGAAAUUGUAAUACGCCCAUUAAUUAGCGAAAUUGACACUCUCUGUUAUUAACGAUCUUUGUUUGGUUGGAAGACCCUCUCGCAGACAUUGUGGUACACAUGUAAACUUUGUAUUUGUCCAGCAAGGAAAUGUUUUAAAAAAAAUAAAAAUUGUCGACUAUCAAAGGAACCGAUUCACUCUUAAACUUACAGUACACAAUAUUACAUGCCAAAUUAUGACUAAUUAUGCCUAAUGCAUUAAUAUCCUUUCACAACGGUGAAAUCUGAAGGCCCAAAAAUAUUGUCACUUGUUCAAGCCAAAAUAUUGAGGCCAGAUAAGCACCCUAAGGUCAAUAAAUAAUUAACGAAAUCAUACUAGCUUUCUAAUAAAAUCUAUCGAAAGUAAUAUAAAUUGAAAAAUGAUGGAGCACUUUUUAACCCUAAAGGCCUAAACUCAAAUUCACACCUUUAAGAAUGAAUUAAAAUCUAAUUAAAAAAAAGAUUUUAUAAAAAAAGAUUAUAUAAGGAUGAGUUUAUUAGUUGUACAUGGGUGACUUUUUUGAUAAAUAUAGAAAAUAAAUAAUUAAAUAGAGAUAUUUUUGACAUUAGAAUUUUAGUCGGUUUAUGCAGAAUUUUUAAUUUAGUAAAACGUAAAAAAAGAGGCUUAUUUUAUUCCAUCAAAAUUAUCUAAAAACCUCAUUAAAUCAUAAAAAUAACCAUCUUUAAUUGACUUAAUUAAUUAAGUUGUCAUUUAAUUAGAAAAAGAUACACCCCUUAGUUUUUAAUUCAAUUCGUAAUUAAACAGGAUACGUCUCUGUCAUUUGUGCACAAUUAAUAACAAUGCUUAUCCAGAAUCCUUUUAAUCGGCCUUUAAAUUGAAUAAGAAGAUGUUUGGAAGAAUUUUUUUAUCUCUAUCAUAAAUUGUGAGCAAGAAGAGAGGGCAUAUAACAACUAAGAGAAAAUAAGUACAAAGCACGAAAACCAGCUCUGCACUUUUUUCUAGUUCUUUCAGAUUCUGCACUCCGUUUAUUCCCCUCCCAUGUCAUGAAGAGAUGGGUCUUUUUCUCUUCUUCUUUUUUUUUUUUUUCCUAAUAUAAUUUCUAAAAGAAUUUAUGAACAAACAGGUAUUUAUAUGCACAAUUAAUCACGAGUCGCACAAACCAGUGAUUCCUGGCCACGAUCGUGCGAUAUUACGACAUUGCUGAUUUUUUUUCUUUUCUUUUCGUUGUGAGUAAUUAACAUAUAGGGCCCACCAACCACUGCAUCCCGAGAUUGCGUGCCAAAAUCAUGUAAAUUGAUUUUGGAAGUUUCGGAGCUAAGUACGCGUAGCAUUAUUACUGGAGAACAUUCAGCCUUCAAUGCUACGAGAAUUCUCGGGUUGUUGCACAUUGAUUUUGGAAGGUUGGUGCGCAGAAUGCCAUAGAAAAAGCUCACGCAACUCAGGUAAUUAUUUUUCCACGUGGCAGCUACAUGGAAAAUGAACGGGCACAGACUCCUAAAGUGCCACUAAAAUACAGUCGUAAUAGAUUAUACAAGCAAACGAAAGUUUUAAGAAAAAUGAAGUAUCAUUUCCGCAGCCCCUGCACAGAUUAGGGGAACUGCAAAGACAUGCUUUGACAAGAACAAAUCUCGAUUUCAAUCAUUCAGAAUAUUGACAUGCUGCACAAGAAAUUGAAUUCAUAUAUUUUCUGACCAAUGGUGAGUUGCAUCCCAUGGAUGCACUCCAUCAGCAGAACUGUCAACACACCAUGAUAUUUGUAUCCAGAAGACAAACUUUCCUAAAAAACACAACAUCAUUUAGCGAGCCAUUAAUCAGUUGACUGCUGUUAUGACAGCACUUUAUGCACGUAAUCAGAAGUAGACAUAUUUCGUCAAGCAACUCCCAUACAUUGCAUACUACAUGUAAUCCAGUCAAAUGUUUCUACCUCAUUCACAAGGAACAGUUAGGGCGUAUGUACCAAGAGAAGAGCUUUACUUCAGUGCUUCACCACUUCAAACUUGAAGCGGAGGUUGGAAAUCAUAACCGGGCACUCUCCUUUCUCAUCGUACUCGGCAUAGUCCCCUCCUGACAAGUCAAUGUCUUCAUACUGAGUCCCAGCAAGCUACACAAACAACUUACAGUUAGUUCGACAAAGCAAAACCAGAACAAAUAGAAUUUCUUUUUUUGGGGUCAUAGAGAAUUUUUCCUCAUAUUAAUCUCAGAUUAACGAGAUUAAUUUGACUCAUCAUCAUCGCACAAAUAAAAGAUGGCUUUAGUAACAACAAAUGUCUAUGAGGAUAGAAGCAAAAUGUGCAACAAGAAAAAGCAUCAACAGUAAUUAGAAGAAGAUAUAUUGAUGAUGAAUCUUCUUAGCUGCGGCAAAACAUUAACCCAAAAAGUACCAAGUGCAUUUACAGCUGUCUGCAUGGGAAUGAGAUAGUUAGGAGCACAGUAGAAAAAGAGGAGAAACAUGUGUAAUGCAUUCGCCUGUUCUUAUCGAAUGAAUGCAAGUUACACUUCAUCCAGCUCAUCUUUAAUACAGUUAGUAAGCAAAUAGAAUCUUCAAACAAGGUUUCCAUUCCAAAGUCUGCCCACCCUUCGCCAUUCAAGUCAAGAGUAAGCCGAUAGGAGACUGAGAGAGCAAAAAUCUAUUGUCAUGCUCUCCACCUAAAUAGAGAGGCAGAAACCAUAAAGGCUAAACUAGAGCAAAUAAUCAAACAAUAUGCUAACACAUUAAAGAAAAAGCUGGAAAGAAUUUGUAAACUAAAGAGCUCAAUGUUGAAAAUAUUCACAACCGUGAAAUGCAUAAAAAAGGAUAAGAUGUAUCUUAAAUGAAGAUGGUCAUGCAUAAUCAUAAAUACGAACACUCAACUUGCGCUCUGAUAACACAAUGCAGUGCUCACAAGUCAUUUCCAUCCACCACUUGAAAUAUGUCUAAUGUUUAGUGUUCAAAAACUAUGGGGAAAGGGCAAGAAUAGAAACUUACAGAUUCAACUUUCCAUCCAACACCAAAGACGAAAUCCACAGGCUCAUAACCCCUGCAGUCGAAUAACAUCAAGGGGCUAAAACCCCCAGAUUGAGCAGCUUCCUGGGUCAGUGGUUUACCCCGGCCUGGGAUCAUAGUAACAGUUCCUUCUCUCCCACAAAAUUUGCACUGUGAAGAAAGAUAUGGAGCCAGAAAAUCACCAACAACCAGAACACAGUCAUUUUAUAAAUAGAGUGAAAAAGUUUCAUCUGUAAUAUGUCACAGCAACACUUGAAAAUACAGACAAUAUGUCACGGUCAUUUAUACUACAAGUCUCUAACAGAUUAAUCUACCCAAGAAACUUGAAAAUAUGCAAGAAAUCCAUAGUACCAGAUCCUCAUUCCCACACCUUCAAAGUAAUUACUCAAGCUCAACCAAAGAAACUUAAUAAUUCUUUUUCCAUUCUAAAUCCAAGGCAUCAAAAAGCAUAUAUAGGUCAUUGAACAGAAAAAAAAUACAAUUUAUACUAGAAGUCCCAAGAAAAACUAUAUCUUGAAAGCUUGUCGCAUGCAAGCAAUUUUUACAAGAUAUCAAAAGAGCUGAAGAAUUACAUUCAAAUCAUAAAAAGAAAAGCUCUGAAGUUCACAAAGAAUCAUGAGGAUACAUUAUAGAGUUAUGUUCUAUCAUGAUUCCAUGAACUCGUUCACAACAACAGUAACAGAAAGGCCUUGGUUUUAAGUCCAAGAAAUUGAUUUGUUACACUAUGCUACUGCUAAACAUCUCCAGUUUGACUACAAACAAUAAUAUACAUCUAAGCUCAAAUGGCACCAAUUUUAACUAGCUUGAUGAAUAUAUAUAUUCAAUUAGGGAUCUCUGGUUGUAUUAAAGUUGGGAAUAAGCUAACAGACAAAAAAAAAACAGACUCCAGUGCAGUGUAUUUUGUUCCGUAUUGUGUUGAAAUUUGUGUUUUCUGUCAUUUAACUUAUCCCUAACGUUAAUAUGAUCAGGGAUCCCUGAUAGAAAACUCUCUCUCUCUCUCUCUCUCUCUCUCUCUAUAUAUAUAUAUAUAUAUAUAUAGAUAUAUGUGUGUGUGUGCGCGCGCAAUAGUGAUGUACUGCAACCUAUUUUAAUCUCCACUGCAAGUGUAUAUUACUUGAAACAAUUUACAUUAGCAAUAUCUGGUACAAGUAUCAUGACUACAGACCAUCUAAUUGCAUCAUUUAUCUAAAGAUAAAUGAUUAAAUGAAAUAUGUAACUUCACUAAACUAAGCCUGAGGUACCAGUAUAACAGCUUUUCCUUCACAGUUUGAUCAUUUGGUUAGAGCAUAUAUCUAUUUAAAGUCCUCGCAAUAAGACAAACAAGAUCACUCACAUUUUAAUACAUACACAAAGAGAGGAAGAGAGAGAGGUAUUACUUUUUGAAUGAGAUUUGUGGUUCCCUUGCCUCCUUGAGUAGGAAGAGUUUCAGCCAAGCUCACACAAGUUUCUUUCUGGCUUAGUUCUCCGCAUCCACACUUCAACUACACCUCACAAAAAAUAAACAGAUAAACAUCUAAUUCAGAGAGCAUUGCAAGAUUAAAAUUCAAUUCCAACAUUAACUAACUAGAAUCAACAAAACAAACAUAUAAUAUAAUUUGAUAAGAGUGAUAUACAAUGUUACUGAAAAUCAACUUAUAUGAACAUCCAUAAGCAUAUAUAAAUCAGAUCUGAAAAUAAUAUGAUGAGUGACAGAGAUUGAACUGAAUAUAAUCAUUAUACAUAAAAACACAAACAUACAUAACAGGAGACAACAAAUUUGAACACUUAGAAAAAGAAUCAAAACAAAAAAUCCAAAGCAAAACAAGGUGAAGAGCAUUACUAGAGAUCAUAGUCACAAUAAUCAUCUGUAUUUGAAAAUCAAGUAAAAUGAGUAACCUAAAACCAGAAACCUAAAAAUAAGUACUCGCAUUCAUUUGGUGUACGAGAGAGAGCAAUGAAAACAGAAAAGAAAAAUCCAUACCGAAAUUCAUCCAUUAUGUGAAGCAAAGCGAGCAGUGCAAGAAGUAAAUACGAAGUAAAGAAGAAUCAAGAGCGGCGAAACGGAGGUAAUACUGAGGGAGAGAAAGAGAGGGGACCUUGAAGAAGUAAGAGAAGUUAGGAUCGUCGCAGCCGCCUUGAGGUUGGAGAUUGGUGAGGUUCUCGAGAUCGGCGCUGAUCAUCAGCAUGCAAUUCACCAUUUUCGCUUAGCUUUCCAGUGCCAAAAUAUUCUCUCUCUAUUUUUUCAGCGUGCUGGAUGGACGGAUGGGUUGAGACUUGAGAGAGACAAGGUAAGUGCUCGCCGCUUCGAUCGAGGGAAUUCUAUUAUACGCGCGUGGCUUGGCGAAUGUUGCCCGCCCACGGAGAUUACAUCGAUACGAUAAUUGUUUUGAACGACAUGUCGUAUUUUUCUUGGAUGGUAAACAGACAAGACGUUUAUACUUGGUGAAAAUGCUACAAUUUUGUAAUCGGGAUUUGUAUGACCAACUAGGGUCGCAUAAAGUCAGUAGAGUUUGGUAUACAUGUACAAAUAAUUUGUUACGUGCUUUGUAUCUAAGCUGGAGAUAGUAUUAUGAUUUUAAAAAAAUUUUCAAACGAAAAAUUUUAACGAAAUCUUUCAAUUUUUUAUUUCAUUGUAUUUAACUCUAUAUAUUUCUCUAUUCGUAGAGUACAUUGAAUGUACAAAAAUAGUUAUAACAUAAUUCUUAUUAUUUGUAUUAACAGUUACUCUAUAAACAAUGUUGUUGUGAAGCUGUUAGUUUAAUUAUGUUACUAGUAUGCUGACGUGGCGAGCUGAGCUGGAGUGUGGGCCUGCUGUUAGUUAGAAGCCGUUAUUAUUAACGGUUGAUUCCAAAAACAGAGGCAUGCAUAUAUAAGGGUUGGUUUGUGGCAUAGUUAGCGUGUGAUUUUAAGGGUGAUAGAGUGAGAGAUAAUAAAUUCUGUAAACUAAAGAUUUAAUCUCUGCACUCCAUAGAUUCUUUGUGUAAUCGUCUCCAUUAAUAAAGCUUAAGCCUUCUGCUGGUUUUUCAGCCGUUGAUGUAGGUACCUUGAUACUGAACCACGUAAACUCUUUCUCUGUGCUUGCUUCUUGGUUCUUGGUUCUUGUUGAAUCUUACUGUUGUUAUUUGUUUCUAAUUCUAGUUCUUGGUUGUUCUGAGUUGAUCCUAUUAUGUUAACUAGUUCAAGGUGGUUGCAUUUGUCGAUUAAGCAUUAACAAACUGGUAUCAGAGCUUGGUUCAUUGAGGCUGUUCUUGAUCAAAAUGACGACCACCAGAUUUGAUCUCGAAAGGUUUAAUGGUGAUAACGACUUCUACGUCUGGAGUCUUAAGAUGAGAGCAAUUCUCAUCCAGUAAGGGCUUGAUAGUGCUCUUGAUGAUGAAGAUGAAGAUCCAAAGGGCAAGAAAGAACAUGCAUAGGGCUCAUCAAUAUUAGGAGGAGAUCAGAAAACCAUUAAUAACAAGGCUCACAGCACCAUUAUCCUACAUCUCUCUAAUGAAGUGCUGAGAGAGGUUGCAAAAGAGAAGACUACAUCAGGAUUAUGGUCAAAGUUGGAAGACUUAUAUUUGAAGAAGUCAGUGGCCAAGAGAUUAUAUAUGAAGAGGAGACUGUACACCUUCUCCAUGAAAGAGGGAGUAGCUAUAAAUGAUCAUUUGGAUGAAUUCAAUAAGCUAAUCUUGGAUCUUGAAAAUGUAAACAUCGAUUUGGAAGAUGAAGAUAGGGCACUAAUUUUGCUAAGCUCCCUGCCUGAUUCAUUUGAGCAUUUUGUUGAUACUCUUUUAUAUGGAAGGCAGACUCUCAUGUUAAAGGAUGUUAAAAGUGCCUUGGAAUCAAAAGAUUUGAAGAAGAAAUCUAAUGGGAAAGAUCAAAGCUAUGGGGAAGGAUUAACAGUCAAGUCAAAGGCAAAUAAAAAAAACAGCAAAGAAAAGAAAAAUACCAACCAGAAAGAUAAAAUAGAGAAAAAGAAAAAUAAGAAGAAAUGUUAUUUUUGUCAAAAAGAAGGGCACUAUAUGAAGGAUUGUUUUGAGAAGAAAAAGCUUGAGAAGCUUCAAAAGGAAUCAAAUAGGAAGGUUGCCCUUGUGUCAGAGGAUGAAGGAGACUCAGAGGGUGCUGAUGUUCUAGUAACAGUAGAAAAGCAUCAAAUUGGUGAGUGGAUACUUGACUUUGGGUGCUCUUUCCAUAUGUGCCCAAAUAAGCAUUUCUUUAAGACAUUUAGAAGUAUUGAGGGUGGUAAAGUGUUGUUGGAAAUGACUUAGCUUGUAAAGUUGCUGGAAUUGGAACCAUUGAUAUAAGGGAAAUUAUCAAUCAUAUACCCUUAAAUGACAUCCAUAUCAAACGUGUGUGAACACUUUUCAAGUGUAUCACUCGUAUACCAUAAGUUGACAAAACACUUAUGUCGUCCACCAAUUUGUUAACUUCCGUUAGAAAGUUAACAGAAUUGUGACAAAUUGACUAUUUUGCCCUUGAAACUCAAAAUGAGGUAAAAAUAUAAAUUUACCCAAAAAAUUAACGUAAAUUUUCAAUACACAAUUUUUUUUUUAAUUUUUUUUAUUAACAAUACAUUUUUUUGAUUAAAAAAAUGAAUUAUUAAUGGUACAUAAUAUUAACAAUUAUCCAUAAAAAUAUCCAUAUUAUACCAUAAAAAAUUAUUAACAAUAUAUUAUUUACAAUUAUAUAUAUUAUACCAUAAAAUUUUUUAGUUGGAGCUUGGAAGAGUAGAUCUUCAAAAAUUUAGGUUAAAUUUUGGAGGAGUAGAUUCGGUUGUAAAGUAAUUUUUUUAGUAAUUAUUAAUAAUUAUCCGAUAAAUGGGAUGACAUGUCGUUUUUUUUAAUCAAAGUUUCAUCAAUUUUAAAAGACUAAAUUACCCUUAUGAUGUCAGCGCUUGCAAACGGAAGUUAACGGAUUGGUGGACGGCAUAAGUGUUUUGCCAACUUAGGGUAUACGAGUGAUACACUUGAAAAGUGUUCACAUACGUUUGAUACGAGUGUCAUUUAAAGGUAUAUGGUUGAUAAUUUCCAUUGAUAUAAAAAUAUUUGAUGGUGAAAUUAGAAACUUAGAUCAAGUAAGAUAUGUACCAAAACUUAAAAGAAACCUUAUAUCACUAGGCAUGUUUGAUCAAAUUGGCUGUAGUAUUAGAGCUGAAAAUGGUGAGAUUCAUGUGAUGAAAAAUGGUACUACCAUCAUGAAAUGAGUUAGAAAGAAUGGCUUUUAUGCUCUAGUAGGGUCUUGUCUCUUACCUGGAAUUACAACCACUAUGAGUAAUGAUAAAACCAAGCUGUGGCACAUAAGGCUAGCACACAUAAGUGAGAGAGGGUUAAAAGAAUUAGAGAAACAAGGUUUGUUUGGUGAAGACCACAUAUCCUCAUUAGAAUUAUGUGAAAAAUGUGUUUUUGGUAAAGCUACAAUGCAAAAAUUCAAUACAGGAAGAAAAGAAAUAAAACAGACCUUGGACUACAUUCAUUCAUACCUAUAGGGACCAUCACAUGUUCCCUCUCAUGGUGGAGCUAGGUACUUCAUAACCUUCAUUAAUGACUACUUAAGGAAUGUUUGGAUUUAUAUGUCAAAAUAGAAGAGUGAGGCUCUGAAGAAGUUCAAAGAAUGGUUAACACUUGUAGAAAAUCAGACUGGUAAGAAGAUAAAAAGGCUAAGAACAGACAAUGGACUGGAGUACUGCAGCAAUGAAUUUGAUGAAUUUUGUAAGAGCAAGGGCAUAGCAAGGCACAGAACAGUAAGGCACACCCCACAGCAGAAUGACCUUGCCGAAAGGAUGAAUAAAACCUUACUUGAGAAAGUAAGGUGUAUGAUGUUCAAUACAAACCUAUCUAAGCAUUUCUAGGCUGAGGCAGUUACAACAGCAGCUUAUCUAGUGAAUAAAAACCCUUCAUCAGCCUUAAACUUCAGAACUCCACAAGAAGCUUGGUCAGGAAAACCACUAGAUCUUACUAACCUCAAAAUCUUUGGCUGCAAUGCAUAUGCUCAUGUUAGUUAGGGCAAAUUAGAGCCAAGAGCAUUGAAAUGAUACUUUAUAGGAUAUCCAAAAGGCACCAAAGGGCAUAAGAUCUGGUGCAUACAUGACAAGCCCUCAAGAACUCUAAUCAAUAGGGAUGUGGUGUUUGAUGAAGACUCAAUGCUGCUGUCUAAAGUAGAAAAUGAGGUAAUGUCUACUGGUUCAUAUAGAAAACAAGAUGCUGAGUUGAAGGUGGAGCAUGUUGAUUGCUAUCAACCUGCAGAAAUGACUCUAGAGAAAUCUGACAAGGAGCUCAAAUCCUAUGAGCUUAACAAUUAUCAGCUUGCAAGGGAUAAAGAGAGGAGAACAAUAAAAAUGCCUAAGAAAUAUGGCAUUGCUGACCUUAUCUCAUAUGCACGGAGUGUUACUGAAGAACUAAGUGGUGAAGAACCUAUGAGCUAUAAGGAAGCCAUGUGUAGAAGAGAUAAAGCUAAAUGGCUUGCUGCAAUGAAAGAAGAAUUAGCCUCUCUUAAGAAAAACAACACCUGGAUCUUGGUAGAAAAACCCUUCAAUAAAAGACUAGUAGGCUAUAAAUGGAUUUAUAAGCUCAAGGAUGGAGAGUCUGCUGAUAAACAACCCAGGUACAAGGCAAGACUGGUAGCUAAAGGCUUCACACAGAAAGAAGGAGUAGAUUUUAAUGAAGUGUUCUCACCAGUGGUAAAAAACAGCUCCAUAAGGUUGUUGCUUGCUGUUACUACUUUUCUUGACCUGGAGUUAGACCAAAUGGAUGUAAGAACUGCCUUUUUACAUGGUAACCUUGAUGAAGAAAUCUUUGUGACACAACCUGAGGGUUUCAUAGAAGAAGGGACUGAAGAUAUGAUGUGUUUACUUAAGAAAAGUUUAUAUGGCUUAAAGCAGUCUCUAAGGCAGUGGUAUUUGAGAUUUGAUUAGUUUAUGAGCAGCCGUGGUUACAGCAGAAGUCAGUAUGACACUUGUGUGUACUACAGAAGCUUGACUCAUGACAGCUACAUCUACUUACUUCUCUAUGUGGAUGACAUGCUCAUUGGAUGCAACCAGAGGGAAGCCAUAGAGGAACUCAAAAUGCAGCUCAGCACUGAGUUUGAAAUGAAAGAUUUAGGUGCUGCAACGAAAAUUCUGGGUAUGCAGAUUGUAAGAGACAGACCAGCAAGAACUUUGUUCUUUACUCAGGCUGGUUAUGUAAGGAGAGUGCUCAAUAGGUUCAUCGUGGACAGUGCUAAACCUGUGUUGACACAUCUGUCAACUCAUUUUAAGCUCUCUAAGCUCUAUGAGCCAACAACUGAUGUAGACAUAGAAUAUAUAAAGAAUAUUCUCUAUUCAAAUGCAGUGGGGAGUGUUAUGUAUGCUAUAGUCUGUUCCAGGCAGGGGUGUCAAAAACCCCGCCCGGACCGGAUCUGACCUGAACCCGGCCAAUCCGGUCUGGGAAAAAUCCGGACCGCAUAUACUGAAAAAGUGGAUCCGGGUUUCAGAAUUUAAAACCCGGACAUUUCCGGACAUGGUCCGGGUUCAGCACUAAAAACCCAAAACCCGAACCCGGACCCGUUUUCCGAAUAAACUUAAAAAAAAAAACUAAAACUAGUUACCCAAACCCAAAUCGCAAAACACCUAAAUCCGAAAUCCCUAAUUCCCCAAAUCGCAAAACACCCAAACCCAAAGGCAUAAGCAGCGAUGCUACCACCGUCACCGUUGGCUAGCACCCACCGUCAGUCCGUCACCGUCGCCCCUCGGCAGUCGGCAGUCGGUAGUCGGCAUCAUCUCUUCUCGUUUGGCAUUUACUGACUCGGUUUUGCUCGAUUUUGCUCGGUUGUGGCUGUGACGGGAGUUGUUCGUGCAGCGGCAGCAGCGCAGUGCAGCCCCCUCCGGCGCCGUCAGCGUCAGCGUCUGCGCCACCGUCUCCAACUCUCCAUUGCCACUUUGUCAUCCACCAUCAGUCCAUCACUCUGCCAUCACAGCCACCACUACCAGCCGCAGGUAUUGAUUUUUUUCCUUCCAUAUUUUGUCUUCCUAGUUGCAUUUUUGCCAAUUGCUUCUCCAUUGGUGUUGGUUGUUGCUAUUCGUGUUUAUCUUCGGCCAAUUUUGUGCAUUUUGACCGUAGAAUAUGAGGAAAAUAUGGCCAAUUUUGUGAGGGAUCCUUAUUGCCUGCUCGUAUAAUGACAAUGUUGAUAAGCAGAGAAAAUAAUAAUCACGGGAAAAGCAAUUUUGUGCAUGGUUGCUGACUUAUAGUGUGAGCCUGUGAUUACUGUAACUGUUGCUCUUUUUUUUCGGCCAAAUCCUUUUGCCUAUUUUAAUUUUAUGUUGCUGAUUUACUGUGAGCCUAUUAGUUAUGUAAUCUGUGAGCCUGUUAGUUAUGUAAUGAUAAGUUUAUUCGUGUUUAUCUUCGACCAAUUUUGUGCAUGGUUGCCGACUUGCUGUGAGCCUGUGAUUACUGUAACUGUUGCUCUUUAAAUCAAUUCUUCGAGUGCUCCAGAUUUAUCUCGUAAUGUUGAAGAUAAAAUUGAUAAUGAGGUUGAGGAAAUUUCAGUGUCAACCGUGAAUGAUAAGAAAAGUAAGGAAGAAACUAGAAAAAAGAAGAAAGUCUCCGAAGCUUGGGAGCACUUUACAAAAAUAAUGGUAAAUGGAGAACAAAAGGCAAAGUGCAUGCAUUGUAGUGCAAUUUUAAAAGCAAAAUACCAAUCUGGGACUUCAACUUUGAAUAGGCACGUGGCAAUGUGUUUUAAGUAGAAUCAACCAGACAUAGAAGAAGCACUUCAAGGAAGCCUUAAAGUGAUUAAAAGAGAGGAUGGAACUUGUGGCAUUAGUUAUGGCAGUUUUGAUCAAAAUGUUUUACGGAGUUUGAUAGCAAGAAUGGUUAUAAUGCAUGAGCUUCCACUUACAUUCGUAGAAUAUAUAGGCUUCCGAGAAAUGAUGACACACAUAUAGGCUUCCGAGAAAUGAUGGCACAUGCUAACCCCGUGGUUAAGCCAAUGAGCAGAAACACUUUGAAGAGCGAAAUCUUGAAGUUAUAUCAAAUCGAGAAGGUUAAGACUUUGCAUUUAUUGGGGAAAAAUCAUGGUAGAGUAGCCAUUACUACAAAUUUAUGGACAGCUAGUAAUCAGAAAAAUGGAUAUAUGGUCGUGACGGCCCAUUUCAUAAUGACAAUGUUGAUAAGCAGAGAAAAUAAUAAUCACGGGAAAAGCAAUUUUGUGCAUGGUUGCUGACUUAUAGUGUGAGCCUGUGAUUACUGUAACUGUUGCUCUUUUUUUUCGGCCAAAUCCUUUUGCCUAUUUUAAUUUUAUGUUGCUGAUUUACUGUGAGCCUAUUAGUUAUGUAAUCUGUGAGCCUGUUAGUUAUGUAAUGAUAAGUUUAUUCGUGUUUAUCUUCGACCAAUUUUGUGCAUGGUUGCCGACUUGCUGUGAGCCUGUGAUUACUGUAACUGUUGCUCUUUUUUUUUGGCCAAAUCUUUUUGUCUUUUUUAAUUUUAUGUUGCUGACUUGCUGUGAGCCUGUUAGUUUUAUGUCUCUGUCUCUCUUUUCUGUUCACUUUUUCGUUUCCACACUAAAAUCUGAAAUUUAGUAUAUCUUUGCUAUUGUAACAGCAGAGUAGUGCAAUGUCGGACAAUGUGAAAAUCAAUUCUUCGAGUGCUCCAGAUUUAUCUCGUAAUGUCGAAGAUAAAACUGAUAAUGAGGUUGAGGAAAUUUCAGUGUCAACCGUGAAUGAUAAGAAAAGUAAGGAAGAAACUAGAAAAAAGAAGAAAGUCUCCGAAGUUUUGGAGCACUUUGCAAAAAUAAUGGUAAAUGGAGAACAAAAGGCAAAGUGCAUGCAUUGUAGUGCAAUUUUAAAAGCAAAAUACCAAUAUGGGACUUCAACUUUGAAUAGACACGUGGCAAUGUGUUUUGCAGAAUUAACCAAACAUAGAAGAAGCACUUCAGGGAAGCCUUAAAGUGAUUAAAAGAGAGGAUGAAACUUGUGGCAUUAGUUAUGACAGUUUUGAUCAAAAUGUUUUACGGAGUUUGAUAGCAAGAAUGGUUAUAAUGCAUGAGCUUCCACUUACAUUCGUAGAAUAUAUAGGCUUCCGAGAAAUGAUGACACACGCUAACCCUGUGGUUAAGCCAAUGAGCAGAAACACUUUGAAGAGCGAAAUCUUGAAGUUAUAUCAAAUCGAGAAGGUUAAGACUUUGCAUUUAUUGGGGAAAAAUCAUGGUAGAGUAGCCAUUACUACAAAUUUAUGGACAGCUAGUAAUCAGAAAAAUGGAUAUAUGGUCGUGACGGCCCAUUUCAUUGACAAUUCCUGGAAAUUGCAUAGUCGAAUCUUAAGGUAAUUUGUCUAUAAUUUUUUAUUUGCUUAAUUUUUCUUUUUAGUUUAUUAUUACUUAUAUUAGAUUUUUUUUUCAAGUUUAAAUUGUAAUAUAUUUUAAGUUUGUGUAUUUAAUACCGACUUUUGAAUAUUUGAUAGGUUCGUCUAUGUUCCAAGCCCCCAUACUGCUGAUGCCCUUUGUAAUGAGUUAGUACAAUGCCUAUUGGAUUGGAACGUGGAUAGAAAGUUAUCCUCAGUGACAUUGGAUAAUUGUACCACUAAUGACGCAAUGGUGGAGAAAUUAUUGUUAAUGUUUGAUACCGAUACCUUAAUUUCUAGUGGUAAAUUUUUUCAUAUGAGAUGUACUGCUCAUAUAUUGAACUUGGUUGUGCGGGAUGGGUUGAAAGUUAUAGAAAGUGAGAGUGGAAAGAUUAGAGAGAGUGUGAGUUAUUGGACACAAACACAAAAGAUAUGAAACUUUUGAGUUAGCUGCUAGACAAUUACAAAUUAAUUGUAAAAAAAAAUUGAAAUUGGAUUGUCCUACUCGUUGAAACUCUACUUAUGCCAUGCUUGAAGUAGCAUUGAUGUAUAAAAGUAUUUUUUCUCGGUUGCAACAACGUGAGCCUCAGUAUAAGAGCUUGCCAAGUGAUGAGGAGUGAGAUUUGACAGUCAUAAUGGUGGAGCAUUUGAAAUCAUUUUGCAUAUUAAUGGAGAUGUUUUCGGGUAAAAAAUAACCAACUGCUAAUUUGUUUUUUCCGUUGAUAUGUAAAAUGAAAUUGUCAAUUAAUAGGUGGCGCACUGCUGAUAACCUUGCUAUUAGGAUUAUGGCUGAUAAAAUGGCUGAUAAAUUUGACAAAUAUUGGAAUGAAAUUCAUCCGAUGUUAGUUGUGGCUGUUGUGCUUGACCCAAGAUAUAAGAUGAUGUUAAUUCAUUUUUAUUUUCCAAAGAUAUAUGGUGAUACAGCAGAUGAGCUUAUUGAGUGUGCACAUAAGCUUUGUUAUGAUUUAGUGAAAGAAUAUGAAUCGAAGGCAGUGCAUGUGAGUGAUGGGCAGAAUGUUGGAUUGGAAAUUUCUCAUUCUGAAUCUUGUUCGAAUUCGAAUAAGUAUUGGGAUGUAGAUGAGUUUGAAACAUUUUGAAGCCAAAAUAAACGUGCUAAGGUAACUAAGUCGGAGUUGGAUAGGUAUUUAGAUGAGGAAUUGUUGGAUUCUAUUCCGGACUUUGAUAUUUUAGCUUUUUGGAAGAUGCACACAAGCCAAUAUCCUAUUUUGGCUGAGUUAGCUAAGGAUAUCUUAGCCAUUCCUGUAUCCAUCGUUGCCUCUGAGUAAGCUUUUAGUGCUAGGGGCAGAUUUUUUAGUCUGCAUUGUAGUAAACUUCUUCCUGACACUUUGGAAGCCUUAAUGUGUGCUCAAAAUUGGAUUUGGGCUUCUACUUUUGGAGGUAUAAAGUUAUUUGAAUUAUAUUUUAGUAGUAUUUAUUUGCUUAAAAUGCUUUGAAUUUUAAUGUGUUAUUUUUGUUGUAAGGUGGAGUUUUGGAGGAUGAGAUUUUUACUGGGGAGGAGGUAAUUUCGGAUGAUGAUGAUGAGCCACAAGCGUCGAUGAGUAGCAUGACAUGAACUUUUAUUUAUUUAUUUGGAAUUAGACAUGAACUUGUUAUUUAUUUAUUUUACAUGGGGGUGUUUUGACUCUUUUAUGAACUAUUGUUUGAGUUGUUGAACAUUUUAGGAUUUUCAUGUGUUGUAUUGAUAAUUGGUGUCAUAAUUAUGAACUUAUGAUAUGUUGGAUGUUAUUUAGAUUUAUUGUGUUAUUGAAUUUAAUUUUUUUUAUAUAUAUAGAUUGAAUGAGUUUAGGUUAGAAGUUAGAUGAAUUUUUAUUUAUUAUUUGUGCAAAAAUUGUAUUGUUAGUAUGUUAUAAGUUUGUAUUUAACUAUUUCUCUAAUUUCUCUUUGACUUAAGUUUGAGAUUUAUCUUGUAUUAUGAUACACAAGAAAUGUGCAUGCAUGUUGUAUUGUUGUUUCACUUGUUUGGUGAUAUUUAGGUGUCAUACAAAGACAUAAAAAUGAAAGAAAUUUUUUUUGAAAUAAUUGUUUGCGGGCUUAGAAGCCCGGAAGACAAAACCCGGACCCGGGACACGUCGGGCUCAAGCCCGGACCGGACAUGCAAAAGCCGGGUUUUGUCCGGGUCCGGGUUUCAAUUUUUGGCGUCCGGUUCGGUCCCGGGUUGCACCAAACCCGGACCGGACCUGGGGUUUUGCCAAGCCUAGUUCCAGGCCUGAUAUAGCAUAUGGUGUUGGAGUUGUCAGCAGGUUCAUGGGAAAUCCAGGCAAAGAGCACUGGAAUGGAGUCAAGUGGAUAUUGAGAUAUCUUAAGGGGACUUCUGAUCAUGGAAUUUUGUUUGGGAAAGUCAAUGGAGCCACCUGUGAGGUUGCUGGUUUUGUAGACUUAGACUUUGCAGGUGAUCUAGAUAAAAGAAUAUCCAUAACUGGUUUUGUUUUUACCAUGUGUGGAGGUGCUAUUAGCUGGAAAGCUUCACUGCAGUCAGUUAUUGCUCUCUCAACAACUGAAGCAGAAUACAUUGCUCUAACUGAGGCAGUAAAGAAGGCAAUCUGGCUGAAGGGUUUAGUUUCUGAGUUGGGUUUCAAGCAAGAGACAGUCACAAUUAGCUGUGAUAGCUCUAGUGCUAUACAGUUAAGUAAGAAUCCCAAGUAUCAUGAGAGAACUAAGCAUAUAGACGUGAUGUUACACUUUAUAAGGGAGGAAAUCAGUAGUGGUGUGGUGAGUGUUGUCAAAAUACCUUCUAAGGUUAAUCCAGCUGACAUGCUUACUAAGCCACUACCAACAAUUAAGUUCACGAGUUCUUUGAACUCGAUUGGACUUGGUAACAUGUGAACUAAGUCUCAAAUGCUGAAACAGAGGUGGAGGAAAGCUUGAAGUCAGAAUAAACUAAGGUGGAGAUUUGUGAAGCUGUUAGUUUAAUUCUGUUACUAGUAUGCUGACGUGGCGAGCUGAGCUGGAGUGUGGGCCUGCUGUUAGUUAGAAGUCGUUAUUAUUAACGGCUGAUUCCAAAAACAGAGGCAUGCAUAUAUAAGGGCUGGUUUGUGGCAAAGUUAGCGUGUGAUUUUAAGGGUGAUAGAGUGAGAGAUAGUAAAUUCUGUAAACUAGAGAUUUAAUCUCUGCACUCCAUAGAUUCUUUGUGUAAUCGUAUCCAUUAAUAAAGCUUAAGCCUUCUGCUGGUUUUUCAGCCGUGGUUGUAGGUACCUUGGUACUAAACCACGUAAACUCUUUCUCUGUGCUCUUCUUCUCUUUGCUUGCUUCUUGGUUCUUGUUGAAUCUUGCUGUUGUUAUUUGUUUCUAAUUCUAGUUCUUGGUUGUUCUGAGUUGAUCCUAUUACGUUAACUGGUUCAAUGUGGUUGCAUUUGUCGAUUAAGCAUUAACAGUUGUUUUGCGGUGCUAAUGACUUAACACUAUUUUUAUAGUUUCAGAAUGUUUCUUUUAAGGCAUAUUGGUUGUUAUUCGCUCUAUAGUCUAUAGAGACAUGUUUUAUAUUUGAUAGGUGAACGACAUCUACCCCGGAGGCGAAUUUGAAGACCGUGCAAGUACGUCUUCUUCGCAAGUCUAGCUAAUUAUUUCGCAUGCAGUUUUCAGUGUUAUGGGCUGUUCUUCGAAAACCCAAAACCAUGCCUAGCAGAUUGCUUGAUGAAACGGUGCCGUUUAACACUUUCAAUAAUUUAAACAUGGAUGUUGAGCCACACACACACACGUAUAUGAAAUGUCUGUUUAUUCUCUUUCUCCUAGCUAGCCGAUGACAAUGAACUCACAAAACAAAUUAAACUUGCAUGCGCACAGUAUGCAAAUUAAGAAGGCGCCAUCUGCAGAAGCCACUUGAAAUGGCACAUGCUGCAUCUCAAAUAUUGAAGAUGCGUCAUGCAUGUAAACUUAAAGCGAAUGAGAGUAGAAAGGUGAAUCAUGCAAAUUUGGUGUCUUCAAAAUUGCGCUCCAACUAAUAUUAACAGCAAAGAAUUUUCCAUGUCACUUCUGUUUGAUUACCAAAAGUAUAUAUGUGCUGCCUUUUAAGGAGUUCUUGUAUAUUCAAUAAUCAUUGUUGUGUAAAAAGAAAAUUAUUCUAACUUCUACUUAAUUGCAUUUAUAUGUUGUGAAUUUAAAAUAAUUGGUGAAAAGGUUCUGUGAUCCCAUGGAGUAUAUACUGGGAUGCAAAGGGUUCAUAAUUCUACUAGGAGUAACUUUUGUAAUAAGUUAUGAGUUUGCAAAGGGUGAGAUAAUCUCCGGACAAAAGAGUUCCUAUAUUGGAAGGAAAGUAAAUCAUCUCAACAGCAACGGCAAUGUAGUGAAAAGCAUUCAGGUAUGUAUAUAUAAAUAUAACUUCUUUGACCUAUAUUUUUAAGUUAUGUAUCAUUGAAACUUCUUGGUCCUUAUAGAGUGAAGAUGGAGAUAUUAUCGAUUGCGUCUGCAUUUACAAGCAGCCAGCAUUUGAUCAUCCUGCUUUAAAGGAUCAUAUUAUCCAGGUACAAGUACAACACUUCUAGUAUUUUCUUUUAAAUAAAAAAAUUCAAUAAUGUUACCACUAUGUAUUUGAUUCAGAUGACACCCACUUAUGAUCCAAAUGGGAAGACAGUGACAACAGGAUCAGCUGAUACAGAAACAUCCACGACUGUUAUGGCAUCACAAAUAUGGAGAAAAAAUGGAAGCUGUCCUGAAGGAACAAUACCAGUGAGAAGAAUUCACAACUCGAAUUCCUUUGAAGGUUAUGGCAGGAAGCAGCCAAGCUUCUAUCAUCGUGUUAAGCAGCUUAAUGAUAUUAAGCAACCAAACCUUCAGCAACCAAAUCAUUCAGUAAGAUUCAAUCAUACAUGAUGGAGUGAUAAAACUAUACUUAAUUUUUGCAAAUAUGUCUUUAUCUGACUUGGCUUUGUGUAAAAAUAUUAGAAAGCAAUACUGCUUACAGUAGGGUACAUGUUUUCUGGAGCAAAAGGAGACAUCAAAGUCUGGAACCCUUUUGUUGAAUCAGAUGAUGAGUAUAGUACUUCUCGUGUUAGUCUGCAAAGUGGCCCUUACUAUGACUUUGAGAGCAUCGAGUCUGGAUGGGCGGUUAGUACUAAUUUAAUUAUGAAGCCACUCAAUUGUCUUCAAGUUCAUUAUCAUUCAUUAAAGAAUCUCUUAAUCCCCACAAUUCUUUCUUUCUUUUAUUUUAUUUUAUUUUAUUAAUUUAUUAAUUUUUGCCUAAAUUUUCAGGUAAAUCCAAGAGUGUAUGGGGACAGAAAAACUCGAUUAUUUGUAUAUUGGACUGUAGGUUUAUGCCAACCAUGACUUAAAAAUGUUGUAAUGCAUAUUGCUGUAUCAAUAAACAAUGUUUUGUUCAUGUAUUAGGCCGACGCAUCAAAGACAACAGGGUGCUUUGAUGUCACUUGCCCCGGUUUUGUUCAAGUCAGCAACGAGAUUGCGCUUGGUGCAGCAAUUUAUCCCAUUUCAAAUCCUAAUGGGCUUCCAUAUCAGAUCACUAUAUACCUCUUUAAGGUCGGAGAAAAUGCAGCUUUAUUUUGAUUUAAUUAAUAGUUUGCAGGGGAAGCAAUAAUGGAUUUUCACAUUUUUCUGAUGGAAGGUUCUUUUACUUGCAACUUCCUAUUGGUUCAUCUCUUAUCUUUUCUGAUUUCAGGAUCCGGACACAGGCAACUGGUGGAUGCAAUAUGGAGAAAAAAUCAAUGUAGGUUACUGGCCCCCUAAGUUGUUUAGUUUGUUACCCAGUGGUGCAGAAAGUGCCGAAUGGGGAGGCGAGGUCUAUAGCUCGAAGUUGGAGAAUCCUCCUCACACAGCAACAGCAAUGGGAAAUGGGCAUUUUCCUGAUUAUAUUUCCGGUAAUUCAGGCAGUGUCAAGAGAAUUAGAAUUCUUGACAAUUCUCGUACAUUGAAGUUUCCCGAAUGGGUGUAUAGUUACACAGACCAGUACAACUGUUAUGGUGUCGAUUAUGUUGGAGACUACAUUGUAGAUCCUGAGUUCUACUUUGGAGGACCUGGAAGAAAUCACUUGUGCCCUUAAACUCUUGUAACAGAUUCUAGCUACAAACGGAUGCUUGCUGAUUUGCCACCACUUUCUUGGGUGGCAAGCUAAUAUUUUAGAUGCUUCUUAAUUUUGAUUAUUUGCUACUUCUUGCAAAACACGACCGGUCAUAUUUGAAGAUUUGAUAAUUCAGCUACUCAGUGGUCCGCAAGAAUAAAUUCUGCGAAUAAUCUCUUUUGGAUGCUGCACCAUAAAACACAAUUAGCCAGUAAACAUCAGAAUAAGUGGAGCAAAGUAUAAAUGGAAAUACAAAUGUCAGCUUAAUGUGGAGUUUUGACGCUUCCUUUGUUGUUUUUGCCUAUUUCUUGCAGUUUUAUCCAGAGCUUUCCUUUUUCCCUUUUUUUUUUUUUUUCCUUCUACCAAAUAUAACUUUCUGAAUCUGUAUAUUGGUCAGAAUUAGGGAACUUACAACUGAAAUAAUAACACCGCAAAUUAGACACCAUAUGUGGACUCUCCUAGUAAGACAACUUAUUUCCAUUUUGAGAAAAACUUCUGCUGGUGUCUUUGGUUUAGAAUAUUGCUUAUAAAUCAUUUGGCUGAUAAGCAAGGAGUCUAAAUUGAAAUGGAAACAAUAUCAUAGCUUUCCAAAUCAACCUGAAGCAUGGUUAAUACACCCCAAUGCAUUAUGAUAUUAUAUAAUUGUUAUGUUGAAGAUGAAACUGUCAUUGGCUUCAUACUUGCUUCUGAAACAAAAAUGGAGAAUGCCAAAACCAUUUCUGUGCUUUUGCUGGUAACGUUUGUAUCUGUUUUGGGAAAUGGAGUCGAUAGUAAACUUAAAGCUGGACAAACUAUUUCUGAAAUUGAUAGGAGACUGAAGCUUCUCAAUAAGCCUGCAGUAAAAAGUAUUAAGGUAUGUCACAUGCUACUAGUCUAGUACCCCUGGACAAUUUUCGUCACUUAUUAUGUUGGCACUCUAAUGUAAGAGAUUGUUCCCGUAGAGUGAAGAUGGAGAUAUUAUAGAUUGUGUUGACAUCUACAAACAAUCUGCAUUUGAUCAUCAAGCAUUGAAGAACCAUAAAAUUCAGGUGCAUUUAUUAUUAUUCUUACCCCUUCUAUGAUUUGGAGAACAUUUGUUUUCUGAAAAAUGAAGCCUUAAGUGGACUGUCUUCAUUCAUGUAAUAAGCAGCUGAAACCUAGUGUUGAUCUACUGUCGGAGGAAUUGGAUAGAAGGAACGAGUCUCCGCGGCCUGUAAUGAUGCAAACUUGGCAAAAGAGUGGAAGUUGCCCAAAUGGAACUGUUCCCAUUCGCAGAAUCCAGAGGGAAGACUUAUUGAGAGCAGCUUCUCUUGAAAAUUUUGGAAGAAAAGCCCCGGAAAUUCCCUCUUCAGCAAACAAAACAAAUGUUAAAGAAACUCAGUUUAUGUCUUUCAACGAUAGCAAACCAUUAGGAUUUCCUCCCAUAGUUAACCGUUCUGUAAGCCCUCUUUAAGCAGCUGCCAUGUUUUUUUGCCCUUUUUUCAUUUCCUGAACAUAUUUUUUUGUUGCUUAACUCCUAAUUUCUUGAUACACUUCCUGAACCAGGCUGCAUUACUUGUUACAGUCGGAUACAAUUAUAUAGGAGCUCAGGGAGAUAUAAACGUUUGGAACCCAAAAGUUGACUUACCAGAUGAUUAUACUACGGCUCAAAUCUGGCUUAAGGGUGGCCCUGGUGACAAUUUUGAAAGCAUAGAGGGAGGAUGGGUGGUUAGUGCAUUUACCAAAAACAAACAAAAAAUGCCAACAGUUCUAUAUCUUUAUGCUUUGCUCCUAAUCUUAUUAUAAACUGUUUUCCAGGUAAAUCCCAAGUUAUAUGGUGAUAAACUCACGCGUCUAUUUGUGUAUUGGACAGUAAGUACACCAAUUAUCUGCGCAAAAAAAAAAAAAAAAAAAAAAANNNNNNNNNNNNNNNNNNNNNNNNNNNNNNNNNNNNNNNNNNNNNAAAAAAAAAAAAAAAAAAAAAAACUCAUCCCAUAAGUGGAUGACGGUACUUAACUACUUGUUCCAUGCAUGUUCAUCUUAUAUUUGUUUCCAGAGGGAUGGCUACAAAUCGACAGGUUGCUUUGACGCCAUUUGCUCUGGGUUUGUGCAAACAGGACAAAUAGCCCUUGGCGCAACCAUUAGCCCCAUCUCCAGUUCUGGAGGAUCCCAAUAUUAUGUGACUGUUGGCAUAUCCCUGGUAAUAUUUUAAAUUACAUUUUUCUUCCUUUUUGGAUGCUACUAUGUAUGUAAACUCCAUGUCUGUUGAUUUUCAGGAUCCUAACUCAGGAAAUUGGUGGUUAAAACUUAAUGGUAACGUUGUUGUUGGCUACUGGCCUGGAAGUCUCUUUGGUUACCUAAGUCACAGUGCUACAAUAGUGGAGUGGGGAGGACAAGUUUAUAGCCCAAAUGUGAAGAAAACUCCUCAUACAAAAACUGCCAUGGGCAGUGGAGAAUUUUCACAUAGUCUUCAAGGUUCUGCUUGUUCAAUAGAGCACGUUCGAAUUAUAGACUAUUCUCUUCAGCUCAAGUACCCUCAAUGGGUGGGCACUUGGGCUGAUGAAUAUUAUUGCUACGAUGCAUAUAAUUUUGUUGAAGGAUACACAACUGAACCAGUGUUCUUCUUUGGAGGGCCUGGCCAAAAUCCUAAUUGUAAGUGAGAAUCAUGAUUUAAAGCAAAAGCGUUACGUACUCAUUUCAAUGUAACAAAGUAAUUUUCACAGCUCCCCAACUGUAGCUAUACAUCAAAGUAUCCACUCAUUUCAUAUUGUUGCUGUGAAGUUUAAUGGAGCUGAUGUGCCAAAAUCGGAUCCAUUAUGGUAGAGUUUACAUUUUAGAUUGGAGUGGGAAUUCUGAAGAGUGAGAAUCUUGAAAUUAAAAGCGUGGAAUGAGAGUGAGAGUAUGUUAUUUACUUACACUUGAGUGGGAGUAUGAAAUUGUCUUGGAUUGGUAGUAAAUAAUUUAAAUUACAGUUUUACCUUUAUUUAAAGAAUUAUAAUUUUUAAUUACAAAAUUAAUAAAAAUAUAUUUGAAAAAUAAAAUAUUUAUUUUAUUAUAUUUAUAAAUUAAUAAUAAUUAUUAAUAUUCUUAAUUAUGUAAAUCAUAAUCUUUUAUUAAUUUUAAUUUGAAUUAUGUAAAUACAAAAUUUUUAAUAAUAACACAAAUGAAACAUUAUUAUUGAUAAUCUNNNNNNNNNNNNNNNNNNNNNNNNNNNNNNNNNNNNNNNNNNNNNNNNNNNNNNNNNNNNNNNNNNNNNNNNNNNNNNNNNNNNNNNNNNNNNNNNNNNNNNNNNNNNNNNNNNNNNNNNNNNNNNNNNNNNNNNNNNNNNNNNNNNNNNNNNNNNNNNNNNNNNNNNNNNNNNNNNNNNNNNNNNNNNNNNNNNNAGCAGUAUUUUAUUUUAUUAAAUCUAAUAAAAUAAGUAUGUUUAUUAUUAUUUUUAAUAAAUGUAAUUUAUAAUAUAAUAUAAUAAUAUUAUUUAAAUAAAUAUGAUGUUAUUUAUUUUAUUUUAUUAAGAGAAAUUAUUAGUCAUAUACAUAUAUUAUUAUUUUUAAUAAAUAUAAUUUAUAAAAUAAUAUAAUAAUAUCAUUUAAAUAAAUAUUGUUAACUUCCGUUAGAAAGUUAACAGAAUUGUGACAAAUUGACUAUUUUGCCCUUGAAACUCAAAAUGAGGUAAAAAUAUAAAUUUACCCAAAAAAUUAACGUAAAUUUUCAAUACACAAUUUUUUUUUAUUUUUUUUAUUAACAAUACAUUUUUUUGAUUAAAAAAAAGAAUUAUUAAUGGUACAUAAUAUUAACAAUUAUCCAUAAAAAAAUAUCCAUAUUAUACCAUAAAAAAUUAUUAACAAUAUAUUAUUUACAAUUAUACAUAUUAUACCAUAAAAAUUUUUAGUUGGAGCUUGGAGGAGUAGAUCUUCAAAAAUUUAGGUUAAAUUUCAGAGAAGUAGAUUCGGUUGUAAAGUAGUUUUUUUUAGUAAUUAUUAACAAUUAUCCGAUAAAUGGGAUGACAUGUCAUUUUUAUCAAUAUAUAUGAUAUGACAUGUCAUUUUUUACUAGGUAAAUAGGAUGACAUGUCGUUUUUUUAAUCAAAGUUUCGUCAAUCUUAAAAGACUAAAUUACCCUUAUGAUGUCAGCGCUUGCAAACGGAAGUUAACGGAUUGGUGGACGGCAGAAAUUUUUUGUCAACUUAGGGUAUACGAGUGAUACACUUGAAAAGUGUUCACACACGUUUGAUACGAGUGUCAUUUAAAUGUAUAUGAUUGAUAAUUUUCCUUUUAUUAAAUAUUAUUUAUUUUAUUUUAAAUAUAAGGAUAAAAAGGGAAGAGGGGGGAGUGGAUUCAAUCCACUCUCUCCUUAAAAAUUGUAAGUAAAUAUUAGAGUUGGAGGAAUCCAAACUUCUCACUCUCACUCCAGAAAAUAAACACUACAUAUAAGCAGUGCAAUCUAAUAUAUUUUAAAGUAACUAUCAAUUGUCAAUUUGAAGGGUGAAAAAAAUGAAUGGAAAAUACUUCUUUUUUUUAUGUUUGCUUUCGGAGAUUUGCAGAUGCAACAGAGGGGAAUCAAUUGAGAAAGCAAUUCUUUAAUUGUAAGUCAAAAACUUUGUUCUUUUGCCUAUUUUUGUAGGUGUGUUCGUACUCACAACUCAAACGUUAACAAUGAACUAAUAACAGAUAUCUCAACAAGUUUAUCACAAAUUAGUUGUCAUGAGAUGUGGCAUUAAUUGAGUGAUUAUGAUUUUGCACUAUUUUUAAUCCGCCAUUUUACCCUCCACUUGAAGAAAUGAAACCCACGUGAGUUUAGGAUAAACUUUUAGGAUAACUAGCAUUCUUAAACAUUAAUAACACAAUAUAUAUUAAGGAAAUAACUUUUAAGACCUCCGAGGGAAUUAUCCCUGAAUAAGGCAAUUUUGUAUUCCAUUUUUAGAAAAAGAAUAAAUCAGUUGGAUUUGGGUUUGUUUGGAUAAAAUAACUUGAUUGGAACUUUGCAAGAACCCACCUGCAAUGGAAACAAAAAUUUGACUUUUCAAAUGAACUUGAAGCAGGGUUAAUGAGCAAUAAAUAUUACAUAAUUGCACUUUGGAAAAUGACACUUUUGCUUUACAGUGUUUGUGUCAUCAGGAAAUUUCGAUUUUCCAAUCACUCUUGAUGCUUUUGUUUCUGCCGCCAAAGCUGCUUUUGUAACAGAGCAAAAAUGGAGAAAACAGUUUAUUUGUUUUUGUUGUUUGGGGCUAUAUCUACCCUGUGUAAUGGAGUAGAAGUGAACGCUAAAGCUAGAAAAACUCUUCCUGAAAUUGACAGGAAGUUGAAGCUUCUCAACAGGCCUGCAGUAAAAAGCAUUAAGGUAUAAGUGAGUAAUGGUAUUUUACAUCCUUAAUAUUUAUUAAAAAAAAAAAAAUUCACUCUUGUUUUGGGUGGUUGGUAAUGGUAUUUUACAUCCUUAAUAUUUAUUUUACAUCCUUAAUAUUUAUUAAAAAAAAAAAAAUUCACUCUUGUUUUGGGUGGUUGGUACUCACUCCCUUAACUUUUGAGUUUUGCUACCAACCACUCUUGUUACUAACCAUUAACCCAGGAGUGGUUUCUGCUGUAAAUAUUUUAAUACUUAAAAAAAUAAUACUGGCUUGUCAAAAAAUUAAUAGAGCAUCAGCAGUUGUUUUUCCUUUUAAGACGCUGAAAAACUAGCAUUUAUGGUAGAGUUUAUCUUUCAUAGAGUGCACAUAAUGGGAUGUUUCCUUCUGUAGAGUGAAGAUGGAGAUAUUAUUGAUUGUGUUGAUAUAUACAAACAACCUGCACUUGAUCAUCCUGCAUUGAAGAACCACACAAUUCAGGUGCAUUUUAUCAUUUCUCUCUUCUUUUCCUGAGCUACUUAUGAAAGAUCAUGGUUAGAAACUUGCACUGACUACAAUUCUGUUAGAUUUUUACUAGUCUUGCUUCAUACAAUAUGCAGCUGAGCCCCAGUUUUGAUAUACCAGCCGAGAAAGUGGAUAGAAGAAAUGAGUCUUCUAGGCUGCCGGUAACAAUUCAAACUUGGCAAAAGAGUGGAAGUUGUCCAAACGGAACUGUUCCAAUUCGAAGAAUUCGAAGGCAAGAUUUAUUGAGAGCAUCUUCUCUUCAGCAAUUUGGGAGAAAAGUCCCUGAAGUAUCCUAUGCAGCUAAUAGAACAGAUGCUACACACAGCAAAUUUGAGUCUAUAAACAACAAAACGAUCCACCUUGGUCCUCUAGUUGACCGUUCAGUGAGCAGCUGUAGCUUUUUCAUGCCCUUAAUAAAUUCUUGUUGUUUCAAAUUCUCCUAAUUUUCUUGAUGGUACUAAGUACCAGGCUGCACCCCUUCUUACAACACAAUACAAUUGCAUAAAAGCUACUUCUAAUAUUCUCGGUUACAAUUCCUGAACCAGGCUGCAGUACUUGUUACAGUCGGAUUCAAUUACAUAGGAGCUCAAGGAGAUAUAAACGUUUGGAAUCCGAGAGUUGAAUCGCCAGAUGAUUAUACUACUGCUCAAAUUUGGCUCAAAGGUGGGCCUGGUGACAAUUUUGAAAGCGUAGAGGGAGGAUGGGUGGUUAGUACAUUUACCAAUAAUGUAAAUAAAAAUGCUAACAGUUCUACAUAUUUAUGCUUUCUUCCUAAUCUAAUUAUAAUUUUUUUUUUCAGGUAAAUCCAAAGUUAUAUGGUGAUAAACUGACGCGAUUAUUUGUAUAUUGGACUGUAAGUGUAUCAAUUUUCAUUAAAAACUCUCACCCCAGAAGUGAAUUGUGGUUCUUACUUACUGGUUCCAAACAUGUUCAUCUCAGAAGGAUAGCUACAAAUCGACAGGAUGCUUCGAUGCCAUUUGCUCUGGGUUUGUGCAAACAGGACAAGUAGCCCUUGGAGCAGCCAUUGGUCCUUGGUCGAUUUCUGAAGGACCCCAGUAUUAUUUGCCGGUCGGCAUAUACUUGGUAUGAUGGUAAUAAUUUUUUUUUCUUUCUUUUCCUUUAAUGCACCUAAAAAUGUAAAACUCCAUUUUUUUUUUCUUUUUCAAUUUCAGGAUCCUAACACAAAAAAUUGGUGGCUAAAAGUUAAUGGUAACAUUGUUGUCGGCUAUUGGCCUGGAAGUCUCUUCAGUUACCUAUCGUACAGUGCAAUAUUAGUGGAAUGGGGAGGACAAGUUUAUAGCCCAAAUGUGAAGAAAACUCCUCAUACAAAAACUGCCAUGGGGAGCGGAUCAUUUUCACAUGGUCUUCAGGGUUCUGCUUGUUCAAUCGAGCACGUUCGAAUUAUAGACUUUUCUCUUCAGCUCAAGUACCCUCAAUGGGUAGGCACUUGGGCUGACGAAUAUUACUGCUAUGAUGCUUACAAUUAUGUUAAAGGCUAUACUACUGAACCAGUGUUCUUCUUCGGAGGGCCUGGUCAAAAUCCUAUUUGUAAGUGAGAAUUAUGAAUUAAAGCAACAAGCAUAAUGAAAUCAGUGUAAUAUAACAUAGUGAUUUUCACAGCUCCUUAUCUGUUACUGUACAUCCAAUUGGUGAAAAACAUCAACGUAUCCGCUCCCUUCAUGAUGUUGCUGUGAAGAUUAAUGGAGCUGAUAUGCCCAAAACGGAUCCAUCAUAAGCUGUGAAAUCCAAAGUAUUUUUAACUAGUAAUCAGUUGGCAAUCCGAAGGUGCAAAGUAUGAAUGGAAUUGCUUAAGUAUGUUAGCUUUAGAGAUUUACAGAUACAACAGAUGGGAAUGAACUGAAAGAUAGCUAUUCUUUACAGAUAAUAUGUUAGCUAUGGAGAUUUACAGGUACCUGACUGAUAAUGUACACGGGGCAUAAGAUUGCUAAGGUGAAAACUAACAUGAGGAGAGGAUCCUAUCCGCUAUAGGUGUAUUCGCACUAACAAUUCUCUUAUCACAACAUAUAUUAAGGAGUAAGUUUUAAGAUCUGUCUGGGAAUUCUUCCUGAAUAGACAAAUUUGUCUUCCAUUUUUAGAAAAAGAAAAAGAAAAUCCACUGCUUUUGUUUGGAUUAGGCUACCUUAUUAAAUAACUUGCCUGGAACUUUGCUAGAACCAACUUGAAAUGGAAACAGAAUUAAAAGAUUAAUCGACUUUCCAAUAACUUGAAGCAGGGUGUUUGAACACCAAUGAUUAUUUAAUUGCACCUUGAAGAUGAUAAUUUAGCUUUACAAUAUCUUCGUCAUCUGGGAUUUUCCUACAAGUCCUGUUGGCUUUUGUGAGAAAGCACAUAUGGAGAAAACAGUCUGUUUGCUUUUGUUUAUAGUGGCUGCAUCUAGUUUGAGUAACGGAGUAAAAGUGAAUGCUAAAGCUAGAGAAACCCUUUCUGAAAUUGACAAGAAGUUGAAGCUUAUCAACAAGCCAGCAGUAAAAAGUAUCAAGGUAUGGCAUACAAUAAAUAUUUAGAUCUUAUCAAGUUCUAAACUUGGGAGGCCAAUGUUGUAUCAAUGAGUCCAAAAGUGAUUAAGGGUGGUUUUUCUUCUUAAACUUGUAGUAUUUAAAAAUCCCACUGGCUUGUCAAAUGUUUAAUAGAGCGUUGCUGGGCAGUUUUUGUUAUUAAGAUAGUGAAAGAAUAGCAUAUACGGUAGCCAUUUUCUUCCAUAAAGUGAUGAGUUCUUUAAUAACAUAAUGUGAUGGUUCCUCCUGUAGAGUGAAGAUGGAGAUAUUAUCGACUGUGUUGAUAUCUACAAACAGCCUGCGUUUGAUUAUCCAGCAUUGAAGAACCACACGAUUCAGGUACAUCGAUCAAUUCAUUUUUCAAUUUCCGAGCCACUGGUGAAAAGAACCAAAGGUAGAAAGUUCCCUUUCUAUCAAAAAUACAAAGAAUUUUGCACUUGCAAGAACUUUGGUUAUUUUCUCACUUGUCUUUGCUUCAUGUUAUAUACAGCUGAGGCCCAGUUUUAAUAUACCAUCUGGGAAAUUGGAUAGAAGAAAUGAGUCUUUUAGACCAGUAGCAGUCCAAACUUGGCAAAAGAGUGGAAGUUGUCCGAAUGGAACUGUUCCAAUUCGAAGAAUUCGAAGACAAGACUUAUUGACAGCAGCUUCUCUUGAGCAGUUUGGGAGAAAAUUCCCAGAAAUUUCCUAUGCAGCCAACAAAACAGAUGCUAAACACAGCAAAUUUGUGUCUCUAAACAGCAAGACAGUCAAUCUUGAUCGUCUGGUUAACCGUUCAGUGAGCAGCUAGAGCUUUUUCACGCCCGUAAUUAAUUUCCAUUGUUUAACUUCUCUUAAUUUUCUUGACGGCACUUCAUGUACCAGGCUGCAGUCCUGCUUACAGUAGGAUACAAUUACAUAGGAGCUCAAGCAAAUAUAAAUGUCUGGUGUCCAAACGUUGAAUCAACAGAAGAUUAUACCACUGCUCAAAUCUGGCUUAAGGGUGGGCCUGGUGACAAUUUUGAAAGUGUGGAGUCAGGAUGGAUGGUCUGUACAACUACCCAAAGCAUGCUUCACAAAACAGUCAAUGCUAACAAUUUAGCAUCUUUAUAUUUUUCUCUAACUUUACUAUAAUCUCUAUAUUCAGAUAAAUCCCAAGUUAUAUGGUGAUAAACUCCCACGAUUUUUUGCAUACUGGACUGUAAGUAUAUUUUCUACUAAAGCUUCUCUAAACUACUUUGGAUUGCAAGUACAGUAGCUAAUUUGUUCCAUGUCUAUCUCAAUUUUUUUAGAGGGAUGCUUACAAAUCAACCGGUUGCUUCGACCUGACCUGCACUGGUUUUGUGCAAACAGGCACUCAGAUUGCCCUUGGUGCAUCCAUUAGUCCUUGGUCUAGUACUGCCGGACCCCAGUAUUACAUUCCCAUUGCCAUGUCCAGGGUAACAAUUUAUAUCUGCUUUUUCUUGGUUAAGUUGAUUGUUUGAAGUUAUAAAUCAGCAGUAAAUAUUUAAUGAAGUCCAUUUUUAUUGAUUCCAGGACCCUCAAACAGGAAAUUGGUGGUUAAUGUAUGGCGAUGCUGUUAUUGGGUACUGGCCUGGAGCUCUCUUUGAUUACCUGAAGCAAAGUGCAAUCUUUGUUGAAUGGGGAGGGCAAGUCUACAGUCCAAAUGUGAAGAAAACUCCACACACCAAGACUGCUAUGGGCAGCGGAUCAUUUGCAAGUUCGCUCUACGGAUCAGCGUGUUACAUUGACCAUAUUAGAAUCAUUGAUUAUUCUCUCCAGCUCAAGUACCCGCAAUGGGUAGGCACUUGGGCUGAUGAAGAAGAUUGCUAUGAUGCAUAUAAUUUAAUUCAAGGAUAUACUGUUGAACCUGUAUUCUUCUUUGGAGGGCCUGGUCAAAAUCCUCACUGUAUGUAAUGUGAGGAUAAGAAUGAAAAUGAAACGAAAUAUUGCAGUGCAAUCUUGCUAAUCGCGGAAGUUAAUUAUUUGCAAGAAAGUUGUGAUCUGUUUUCUUCCUUGUAUCAAUGAGAACAUCUAAAGUCAUGUUGAAUGGAUUGAUUUUGUGGGAAGAAAAGGAAGUUCUGCCAUAUGAAGAGAAGAAUAAAAAUGGUGCUUUCUCAAUGACCCCUGCUGUAUUUCCAUAUAUAAAAAUAAUCCCCACUUAGAGGAAUCUGAAUAGUCAAAGUAAAUCAAUAAGGUUUCGUUAGCAAUAGGUGAGUGAUUUGAAUUUGCAAUGGCUGCCACUAUUUCAAUCCACUGUUGCUUGCAUUUGACUCUAGUUAUCACCGGUCUCAUGUUGAUUCAUGGAUUUGCUAAAGAGAAAACUGCAAUGAUAAAAAACAAAGAGAAGCUUAUCAAGCAUAAACAUGCUUUUAAGUUUUAAAACCAUUUCAGGUUGUGAUUACCAUAACUUUUUUCUCAAUUCAUUUGGUAGGAUGAUUUCAUAGGGAUGUAUUUGCUUCUCGAAAAUGGGGUUAGUGUCGACUGCAUUGACAUCUACAAACAACCGGCUUUUAAUCAUCCUCUUCUCAAGAAUCACAAGAUACAGGUUUCUUGGUUUUAUAAGUACUUGGUGCAAAUUUAUAAGCACAUAUGGUAAACCCCUUCGAAAUUGCUAUUAUUUCAAGUGACUAGUACUCGGUAAAUGCUCUUGUUUCUGAUUUUCCUUAGAGUAAUUAACAGAUGAAGCCUACUUCACACCCAGAACAAAAGAAAUCUAUGGCCUCCAAAAAUUCCCACACACAGCUUAUUCAACUCAAGGCAGUCGACUGUCCAGAAGGAACAGUCACCAUUUUAAGAACUCGCCAGAUGGUAAUCUUAUGGACACUCGAUCAAGCAGAAGUGCCACCUAUGGAUUCGGCUUUAACAGCAAUGAAUAUGAGGUUAAAUAUAACAUGUAACAAUGAAUAAUGCCGCCUAUAAUACUUUUCACAUUCUGCUAAUCAUUUUCGUUGAUGCAGACUUAAAUAUUGCUGAUGCUGGAUGGAUAUGCAUUCAUGGCUUCAACGUAUACAUUUUACGCAUAUGGAACCUUUGAUACAUGCUCUUCCAAACUGGAUAUGAUUAAAUAUGUAGAAUGUUGAUUUUAAACAAAGAGAACAGAACACAGAGAAAUUGGGGCUGUUAAUUGCAUGUCAUUCAUUGUUGCAGUAUCUGAAUUUAUUCAAAGAAAAGAAACAAACAAAGCCAAAAAAUCUGCCUACAUAUCUUUAACAUAUAUCUGAUAUCAUAAAUUCAAAAACAAAUUGUUCCUACAAUCUUGCAGGAUAUUAUUGACAGCAUAAUCAUAUCUUUGCUGUUUUUAUUUUUGCUCAAAUCCUGCAGCAAAUAUAGCAUUGUCAUCAUAGAAAUAUUGAACCAGAACUUGGAGCAUAUUUCGUCGCUCUUAUUAUUUUGAUCAUAGUCUAAUUGACUGUUUAUGGGUAUAUUUUUUUCGCGUUUUUAGGUGAAUCCAACACUAUAUGGAAACAACCUUUCACGGCUAGUUGCAUUUUUGACAGUGAGCUUUAAUUAUCAUAGAUUCUCUUAAUCAUAUAAAUUGUCAAUGUUUUUGCUUAACAUGCAUGUUAAUUUUCCAUAUUGUAUGUCAAAUUCAGAAAGAUAAAUUCAGCAAAACAGGUUACCAUGAUCUCAAAUGCUUUGGUUUCGUUCAAGUGUCCAGUACACAGUAUCUUGGCUGUGUACUAGAGCCUGUUUCUGAAGAUGGUGAUUACAACCACCAAUAUGAAGUUUUUAUUGCGAUUUACAAGGUAAUUUACUCAUGCUUUACGCCAUAAAAUUGCAUGCUCAAAAAAAUUAGCAAGUGUUUCAGGAUAUAGGCUCGAGAAGUUCGUGGUUAAGAUAUAAGGUGUAAGCAUCGGAUACCGCCCAACUACAAUUUUCACAAAACUGGCAGACAGAGCCAACAGGGUGGUCUGGGGGUGUAGAGUCUACACAUUCCAGCAAAAAUGGGCACACAUUAAAAACAAGGCGGUCUGGAUGCCAUGCUUUUUUUUAUUUGAGUCUACAAGGAGGAGAAAAAAACGACCGGGGCAGUUUCUUUUAUUAUGGUAGUUUUGCAGCUUGGUAUGAAUGCCAAUAACAUAUAUAAAAAUAUUUGGUAAUUAAUGUGACAUGCUUACGCCUGCAGUUAAAUAAAUUUGUCAAGAAAUUCCAAUAGCACAGCAUAGUAAAGGCUCAGUUCAUGAUAAGUGUUUGUAUUGCUACAGAUGUGACAAGCCUACAACAUACGAGGGAAGUCAGUUUUGUGGACUUGGCUAUGUUGCAACUGUAGUACCGUGCCACAAUUGCAACUCAUUAGAUCCACUUGGAUCCACUGUUGCAACCCUCAUCCAAGUGGAUCCAAUGGCUGGUUGCAACUGUGGCACGGUACUACAGUUGCAACAUAGCCGGACCCCAGUUUUGUCAGUGGAAAAACUGUCGUCCCCUUCCCUUAUGGAGAGAUCUAUCCCUCUGCCUAGGAAUAAUCUUAAACACAAAAAUAUUUUCAUACUAUACAGACUUCCUGUAUCCUUCUAGAGAUACCUACAUAUGAAUAAGAAUUAUAAUCACAAUCCAUAAGAGAAAAUACAACAUAUCACACCAAAAAAGGAGAGCAGGGAAGGACCAAG